AAUUAAAUACAAUUUGUAGGAAUUUGAUAGUUUAUUAAAGAAAAGAUAAUUACAAAAUAAUAAUAACCUUCAAAUUCACUUUCCUUUUUAUAUACAAAAUAAUUGUCUAAUACAAAUGUGAGGCUUUCAUAUAUAACAAGCUCUAGGCAACUGCCUAAGUUACCUAGUUGUUUCGAGCCGCUUAUGAACAACAUAAGGAUUUUUUUUUUUUUGAAAGGAACAACAUAAGGAUUUAAUAAGGAAGAAUAAAUUAAUAUUGUGUUUACAUUUCUAGAAUGGGAAUCGAAAUAGAGGAAUCAGAAUAAAAAACAUGUUUACUUGUUAAAUUAAAGAUGGGAAUGGGAGCAGAAUGUAUGGAUCCCACACAGCAUUAAGGAAUGAAUACCCAGAUUCUGAAUCUAGUGGCGAGUAUUAGAAACCCAUUCCCCUCCCCAUGACGAAAAUGUCCUUAUUAACUUUUAUUUUCCAAAAAUGCCCUUAUGUCAUAUAAAAAUAUAAAAUAAAAUAAAAAACAGAAAUCUCUAAUCUAAGCAGUCGACCUAUCUCAUCGCUCUCACCUACAAACGAGAGCCCACCACUUGAUUUCAUUGUUUGUCACCGAUCUUGCACCAGUCAUCGAUUGAAAUCGCAUCGUUGUUCAUCAUGUGACACUGUCAGUUUCAUUUCAAGAUGAGGAAUAGAUGGAGAAGAAGAAGAAACAAUAAAUAAGAGAAAAAUGAAAAAAAAUAAAUAAAUGAGAAGAAGUAACGAAAACUAAGAUAAAAAGAAAAAAAUGAGUUUGAAGAUGGAGAAUAGAUGGAGGAGAAGAAGAAACGAUAAAGAAGAGAAAAAUAGAUAAUAAAAACUAAAGGAGAAGAAAAAGUAACGAAGAAUUUGCAAGAGAGAGAAAAAAAAAAGAAAAAUGAAAAAAAGGAGAAAAAAACAAACAGAGAGAGAAAAUAAUAAUAAAAAACAAAAGAGAAAAAUAAUAAUUAUUAUUAUUAUAACUAUUUUAUUUAUUAUUAACAAUAAUUUUAUUAAUAAUAAAUUAUAAUUCUAUAAUAAAUAAUGAAAAUAAUGGUAAUAAUAAACUAAGGGUAUUUUAGUAAAUUAAAAUAAUUCAUUCCAAUUCCAAAGUAAAAUAAAUACAUCAAUAGUAAUACAAUUCAUUCCGAUUCUAAUUCCAACAAAUAAAGUAAAUAACUUAUUCUAAUUCUCAUUUAUCAUUCUCAUUUCAACCCAUUCCGAUUCAUGUUUAGUAAACACACCAUAAAAUCUUUUAUUAGAAUCAAAUGGGUGCGAUAUGAUAUUGUAUAUACUAAUAAUACUAUAGAACCUAGUUGAAUUAAUAAUUCCAUAUAUUUAUUUGAUAAGAAAUUUUCAAAAAAAAAAUCUUUUUUUUUAUAGGACCCCUUAAUACAUAAAUUAAUAAUUAAUUAAUUUGAAACUAAAUAUAUAUGAUAUGUCUAUGAUUUUAUAUCUAUAAUUUUUUUUUUGUUGUGCUAGCAUAAUACUUUACACAUUUCAAUGGCCAUUAUUACUUUCUUUACACCUUUUAGAUGAGAAACCAUUAUUGUAUUUUAUAUGAUGUGUUAAGAGAGAUAACAAAGAGAUCAGCUUAACAUAUUGCCUAAAGAAAAUUCUUCUUUGAUGAGUUAUCAUAUAAUCAUGGUCCAGCAAUGCAAUUAGCCAAAUGAUUAUUAAGUAACUGAUUCACUCAAUCAAGAUUGAAUUAUAAUUAUAUCAUAUAGCUUGACGGAAUCAGUACAUCUUUUAAUUGUACUACCCUUAUACUUCAUAAAAAAAUUAAUUAUAAAUGUGAUAUUUUUUUUUAUAAAUUAAUAAAUUAUUAAUUUAUCAUUAAAUUACUAUCAUAGUCCCCAAGACUAUUGAUUUAUCAAGAUUUUACUGUUUAUUUUAAUGGAAUAAAUAAAGAAAAAGAGUCUUAAGAUAGGGAUUAAUAUUUAGUUUGGUUCUCAAUCGAAAUAUGCCAAUUCGGUUUGAUUCAAUUCCAACAAAAAAUUAAUUGGUUGACAUUUUUUGAACCGUUUGGUUCUUACUAACUGAAAACCAUACAAUGUUAAAAUGAAAAAAGAAAAGAAAAUUGUUAACACACACACAAUAACAUUUUUUUAUUAGUAAUUUUACAUAAAAUAUGAAUAAUUAGUGAUUAUAAUUGAAUUAGAUUAAAAAAAUCAAAUUUAGAUGAAAAUUAUGGAAAAUUUGGCUAAAAUUAAAGAAAAAUAUUAAAUUACAUGAACUGAAUCAUAUAAAACUGAAUUGAACCAAAUUGAAACAAAAUAAUUUAGUUCAAUUUCAUUACGAAGUUCAAUUCAUAUUUGGUUCAUAAUUUCUUGAACAGAUCGGGUUCGAUUCGGUUUAAUUUUUGAGCAAAAUCAAACUGAAUCAAUUAUUGAACAUUAAUAUCUCUGCUCUUAAAAAUUUAGGUUAUAGAUUUUUAACCUAACUUAACCAACACAAGUUGGAUUGAGUUCAACUUGAAAAAAAAGACGAUAUUUGGCUCCUUAAUUUAUCUUGUCAACCUUCACUUUUCAAUAAAUAUCAUUCAUUUCAAAAAUAAAACUAAUUAAAAAAAAUAAAUUUAUCUUCUCCCUCAAUCUCUCAAAGGUAACCUUCUCAUUUUCAUAUAUCUUUUUUUUUUUUUUUUAAUUUCAUUCACCGUUGGAACCAAAUAUUAACUCCUAUUUGAAUCUCAAAUCUUAGACUAUCACACAAAAUGAAAAUCAAUAUCACCGAUUACCGUAAAACCCAUCAUUUAUUCAUAAAAUUUUACACAACUCAAUAUUUAAACUCAUCGUAUGUUGGUGGAAAUGAUGAAUUAAUGGUAAAGAAGUAAGUGAUGGUCGCUAAGGAGAGAGAAAGCAACUAGAGUCGGAUCAACUUUAUGAAACAUUAUGGUUUACGAUUAACAGCUCAUUAGUCCAUCAAAUAAGAAAUCAAUUCUAAGUCUACACACCUUUAUGACUCUUAAACAUCUCAUUAGUCCAUCAAAUGGGCGUAAACUCUUGAUGAAACAACCCGGAGAAGAAGUUAUGCUUAUGCAUUUAAUGGGAUGGACGCACUUAAUAGAAUUCUUAAGUAUCUUUUUUCGUUUCUUCUUUUCGCCCCUUUUCAGAGAGGUUUUAAUUUCUUAUUUUCCUUAUCGUUCAUUUUCAUAAAUGCUUAAAGUUCCAAGUCCGCACAACCAGUGAAGAUUAUAGUGCGAACAUUCUGAGAGACAUCGAAGCGUCGGCAUUACGGUGUUCAACAACAAUAUGAAGCAAGCAAUUAUAUGCUGCAAGAUUGGGUGGUGAAACCAAGCAUAUUUCCGAACUUCAAAUGUUUCAAUGAAUACUCACAAUAAGAACCCUUCCAGCAGAAUCGACUGUAAUAAUCUGAAGAUAAUAACAGAAUAAUAGUAAAGACUAAAAAAUGAAUCCUCCAAUCAAAAGCUUAAAAAAAAAAAAAUACAGCAAUGCUAGAUAAUUUACACACAAUUAAUUAACAUCUUAAACAGUUAAACACCAAAUGCACAUAAACAAAAAGACACGACAAAGAAGAUACAAAUUAAAAAAAAAAAAGGUCCAUCAGUGAACUCUCUUAAGCCCUGGACUUGAAGGGAAUGGCCCUGAUGACUAUCUGGUGGUACACAGCAGCCAGUGCAGCUCCAAUGAAUGGUCCAACCCAGAAGAUCCACUGCAAUAUUAUAUUCAAAGGGAAAAACAGUGCUAAGAAUUUGAUCCGCUAGACAGUAAAAACUACAUACAAUUAGGAGCAUGUCAAUUGGGAUUGAAGAAAAUCAUACAUGGUCAUCCCAGGCAUGGUCUUUGUUGAAGAUGAUGGCAGCUCCAAGACUCCUAGCUGGGUUGAUGCCAGUUCCUGUGAUGGGGAUGGUGGCCAGGUGGACCAAGAAAACAGCAAAUCCAAUGGGGAGGGGGGCCAAAAUCUGCAGUGAAGUUAUACAAAGUGCAGCAGAUGAGAAGCAAAAUCAUCAACCGCACUCACAAGAAAAGCACUUUUAAAAAAGCACUACAUGUCACACAAACGACCAAAAUAAUCACGUGCAAGCAUCAUCAUCAAAGAUAAGAUCUUAUCACCCCAGUCCAACCCAAAAGCCCAUCUAAAUUUACUUUUUCACACAACUGCACCACCAGCCAAACUGACCAAUCAACCAUUUACCAAAAAACAGAACCAAAGCAUUGGAUUCCAGAUGAUAGAUUCAAGUAAUGCUGAAAAGAAUUUUCGAAAGUAAGCCUAAUGCAGAAUUCCACUCACUAAAGAAGAAUUAUCUAUAAUCUAUAUCCAAGAAAAAUUGAAAAAAAGAAAACAAACAACACAAUAUUCCUAAAGUAACUAAUAAUUCAACAAAUUGAACACUGAGGGUCUAACAAUAUUUGUACCGAAGAAAGGAAGAUAAAGAAUGACAUGGGGAAAGAAUGCUUACAGGGACAUGAGAGUCUCUGGCGUUUCUCUUCGCAUCAGUGGCAGAGAAGACAGUGUAAACAAGAACAAAGGUUCCAAUAAUCUCAGCACCAAGACCAUCACCCUUGGUGUAGCCGUGAGCAACAACAUUGGCUCCACCACCCAACCUCUCGUAGUUCUUUGAACCUUCGAAUCCCUUGACAACACCAGCACCACAGACAGCACCAAGGCACUGCAUGACCAUGUAGAAGACAGCCCUUGUCAGGGAAAGCUUCCUCGCUAGCAGCAGACCGAAGGUCACUGCUGGGUUGAUGUGUCCUCCUGUUGUUUAAACAGCAAAGAACAAACAGAUCUGAUCAUCAUCACCACCAUAAGAAACGAACACAAUAAAGAACCAAAAAAAAUAAUUAAAAAGUAAAAAUUAAAACUUUUUUCACGUAGAGACGUUGAAAAGUAUAAAAUUUAACUAGGAAAGUCACAAAACUUAGUCCAUAAAAGAAGCAUACAAAGAAAUCACUAGCCAGAUCUAACGAUUAGUAGACAAACCAAUGGGCAAAGGCUUUUACUUGUGCAGAAGCACAGAAACAUCAGGAAAAGAUAAAAUAAAAAAUGAUUAAAACAAUAUUAAAACUGCAUAAUGUUUGCAUUAAUACUCAUUAAAGAUUUGAUUUUUUUCCCCCUCUCUCAAAAAUGUAGAAAAAAGUGAACUUACAAAGCUAGAACUGACCUGAGAUACCAGCAGUGCAGUAAACAAGCGCAAAGAUCAUGCCACCAAAGGCCCAAGCAAUUCCUUGGAUACCGACAGUGGAGCACUUGGUGUUAGACUUAGAGACACCCAUGACAGUCAAGACAGUGAUGUAGAGGAACAAGAAGGUAGCCAUGAACUCUGCAAUACCAGCUCUGUAAAAAGACCAUGACUUGAGCUCACCAGGCUCAAACAAAGGUGCUGGUGGUGGCUCCUUGUAGUCUUUGUCUGAUUGAGCUGAUGUCCCAAUGGGUUGCCUCUCUGAGAACUUGUUAGCUCCUAGCUUAACAUCCUCUUCUUUGCCCUCCAUUGACGAUGAUGAACCUCUCUCUCGCUCUCUUAUUCUCUCAAAGAAGAUGCUGUGUUUGUGUUGUGUAUGUAGCGUAGCGAGAAAGUUGAGGAUUAAAGGGUGGUUUUAUAGAUCAGUGGUAUCACUGCCAAGCAGUAGAACAUUAUGUGGCCAUACGACAAAACUGGCUGUCUUUUUUAUUUUUAUUUUUAUUUUAAAUUAUUUCUUUUUGGCUAUUAUUUAAUUAGUUUGAUCAUAAUAUAAUUAGCAUGCUUUAAUUGGAUUUCUUUUCUUUAGAUUAAUGUGGAAGUAUCGUCGUUAAAGAUUGUAUCAGGGUUUGCCGGAUUGUUCUGGAAAGUGCCGAGAGUUGAUAGGUACUGGUUGUUUUAUUGUCCCCUCGGUCUAAUCUUCAACAGUAUUGAGCCCCCCCCCAAUUCAUUAAUAAAUGCCCAAAAUAUUUAGCCAAUUUUUAAAAGUUAAUUCAAUUUAUAAUUUUCUUACUUGUACGGUUAAAAAAAUAAAAAAAAGCAUUUUAAACAAUAAUAUCCUAUUAUUAUUAUUAUUCCUAUCACAGUUGAUAAUACAAUGACCAAUUGUGUAAUAUUAUCUUUACUUAGGUGAUCAAUUGUGUUUAGCAGCAAUAUUAUCUUACUCGGUCAUUAUUAUCCAAAAUAAGUAUAUAUUUUCACAAUAAAAAUUAAAAAAAAAAAAUUUUGAGCACUCGUAUAAAUUAAUUAUGCUUUUGAAUAUUUUUUGCAUUUGAUUAGCCGUUUCUCUGGGCCAUCUGGUCUUUCACGUAAUCCGAAUAAAGAAUGAGAACAAAUUCUUGUGGUCCUCGUUUGUAGACCCUGUUUGUUAAAUUCUUAUGAUUAAAGAGAAAUCGUUUCUUGCUUUAUUGCGAAUAAAGAGAAAUAGUAGGACCGCUCUGGGUUCAUGCCAAACUUGCCCCUAGCGGUCCGGCUCACAGAAGUCUUGCUCGAUGACAAUUGAUAUCCUUAAUUGCUUCAGGAUUAUUCACAGGAGUUGGCAGGGUAAAAUGGUCAUUUUAAGGGAAGAGCAACCGUUGCUUUUCUCGGUGAGGUAGUGGGAAAUUUCUUCAAACGGAAUGCGAAUCGCGGCCACAGAAUUAAAAGUGGGGCUGGAAUAUGGCAGGCUGAGAAAAAGAUGGCCGUUUUAUGACCGUUGGGAAAGUGACGUCUUGGAGUAGGCACAUGGGCAACGGCUAUGUGUAACAUUAUAUGACCUAAUAACCAAGUGGAAUUACUGUUGCAUCCUUAUCACAUCGUACUGACAUCAAGGGGGUCCAUUUCCUUCAAGUAAUCUAUUGUUGCGCACCUAUAAAGUGCACCGAUAAAGUAUUAGGUUUAAUUCUUUCUCCAGGUAAUUAAGUGGAAGUAUUUUUUUUAAAUAUAAAUAGUAUAAAUAUCUCGUAUUAUAUAAAAUUUAAUAUAAAUUAAUCUCAAUAAUUAUUAAACGUAAAUUUUAGUAAUAGUCUGACAUAACGUUAAUAAUGAUAUUAUAUAAUAUGAGUUGUAAUAUGAGUAACAAUAUCAAAUAAUUUAAAAAAAUUAUUAUGAUGCAUUUAUGUAAUAUCUCACAUCGUUAGCGAAUGAUUUUCUAACUUGAUUUAUAAACCAUGGACCUUUCUAACUAAGUAGAUGUGUUUUGAAUUGAAGAAUACAAUAACAAAAUGCAAUUGAUGUGUGAAUGAAUAUAUUGUAUUAGAUUAAUAUUACACAAUAUUUGGUACCAUACAAUACCGUAUUAUACAUAAUAAUUUUUUAUAUCAAAUUAAUAUAAUUUAGACUUAUUAAUAUUUUAAAGUUUUAUGUUUUUUAUUUAAAUUAAUAAUUUAAUAUUAUUAAAUAUUUCAAAUUUUAUUAUUUAAAUCUGCUGUACGGCCAAGGCGGAUGUACGGUACAGCAGACGGGCACAGCCGCGCCCAAAAAACAGCCCCCGAAGUUCGGGGUCCCAAGACCAUAAAAUAUUUAAAAUAAAUUAAAUAACUUUAAUUGAUUAACAAAAAAUGGCUUUGAAAAAGAAUCUAAUACAUACUCGCAGAAGGAUUUAGAUUCGGUGCUGAAUUAAUGUUUUUACUAACCUCUUAGAAAUACACUAAUUAGUAGUUAUGUGGGUAAAUUUUAAUUUAGUUCCAUUAAGCUUUUAAUUAAUGAGGUACAAUGCGUCUAAUUUAAGUUCACCAAACACAAGGUUCUUUAUAGUUAAUGCUGGACCACUAGUAAUGCUAGCUAUCCACUGCGUAAUGCCAAACAUGUCAUUAUAAUACUUUGAUCUCUUUUCACUAAACUUGGAUUAAAAUUUUGCCACUAAACAGUGAAUCACACCUAACAUAUUAUUACAAGUUAAAUACUUUAUUUACACACAUUUUAUAUUAGUGUCAAAGACUUAAAACGGGUUUUUAGCAAUUGAAGAAUGAUUCUUGCUUGACCUUGAUGCAAGGCUCUGAAAGGCUGGACAAAAAUUAUCUUCAAAGAAUAAAGACUUAGGUAGCGUUUGUUUUUUUGUCUGAAAUAUGAAUGUGUCUGAAUUUUUCUAAAGUCCGAAUGGGUCUGAAUACAAAAAUUUAAAUGACAUGUUUAUUUUUCUUUUUUAAAUAUCUGAAUAUAAGUGGCAUCUUGUUUGUUUUUAUUUGAUAUUUUUUAUCCUUAUAAAUUAAAACAAAAAAAUAGGAUUAGAUUUUAUAAUCUAGGAAAUAAGUUAUUUUACAGAGAUAUUUUUGGAAUAUAAUAUUUAGCAAUAUUCAGACAUUUUUUUCAUUCAGAUAAAAGUUACAAAAGUUUACUUUUUUUAUUAAGACAUAAAUAUCUUAAAAUCAGACAUAAGUUAAAAAAAAAACAAGCAUAUUUUUAAAAAAAUUUGAAAUUAAUAAAAUUUCAGACUUCAGACAUUUAACAAAUAACCUCUUACUCCUAUUUUAAAAAUUAGGCUCCAUUUUUUAUGACGGCAAUAUCUUGAAAGUAAUCACAACACAAUAUUAAACAGAGUCAUAAGGACUUUCUAACUCUUGUCCUCAAUAAUAACAACCAUUUUGCAAUUAAAGUUAGAUUGUGAAAAUUAAAAAUUGGAGGAUGGUGCAUAGAUUUCAUUAACAUAAUAAAAUGGGACUAGGGCGAAUCCAAUCAUGUCAUAGUUGUUUUUAUUUUGGCAUGACCUAACACGAUAAUGAUCGAACAAACAGCGGAGCUUGGGACCACAUGGUCUUUGUUUUGAAAAUCUUUGCUUUCUAAAAUGUGCUUAUUUUGGUGAGCCCUAUCCUCCUUUCCAAGUUUUAACUUUUAUUAAAAGGGGGCGUCAAUGAUGCUAGCCAACUCACACUGUUAGUCUUGUGCCCUGCACUCACAUGCAAACCUAGCCCCACUCCGCCACCAACAGGGUUCAUGGCCCAUGCCAACCAUUCCUGGCAUCCAAAAAUAUAUAUAUAUAUAUACAAUCAAGAGCAGGGAUUAGCUCAACCGCCCAAACCACCAUAAUCUCUCCACGCGGCACCAAUUUGAUAUAAAUGCUUGUAUUUUUCCAAGGCGGGCAGCUGACCUGACCCGACCCAGCAACCCAAGGAUGCACCAAGUGGUUCGUACUUCAUAAGCGAAGGAAGGAACCAUGAAGUUCAUGGCAUGGACUCCAAAAGCAAAAGAUCCAACAAGCAGCUCACUCACACACAGAUGGUCUUCACCAGAAGAUGCCUUGACCACGCAAAGUGAUGGCAACAUUUCUCCUAUUUGCUUUUCAGCAAGAAAUUGUGACCCGGCGUUUCAUCUUGAAGGAAAUGAUGGGGAUAUUUCUUUUUCAAUAGAAAUUUAGCGCUGGAAACACAGCAAUAAUAAAAGAGCAUCACUGAUCUCUAAUCAUUUUCCACCAUCUGAACCGCAUUCUGAUCAAUGAAAAGCUGAACAUAUAUAUAUAUUUUUUUUUGAACUGAUUAAGCAUCAUGUUACUGUAUUACACAGAGAUAUAUAUAAUUGCUAUGACAGUAGGUCAUUACACUGAUAUUUACAAUCAGAUAUAUACAUGAGACUUAUAUUAUUAUAUUUUUAUUUUAUGAAGUACAUGCCCAUCCAAAUACCCCUCACGGAGGAGGGAUGUCUCUACUCCACUCGCAUUUUGCAAUGGGAUGUCUCUACUCCAUUCGUAUUUCACAAGGGAAAAAGACGUUAUAAGAAAUCUCCACACAAUUAUAUUUAAUUGAGGGAGGUUGAGUCCGUAGGGACUCGAACCAUUGCCCUCAUAGUCAUGCUUAACUUUGUGGGCAAUAGUUCACAACUGGACUAUAAGCCCAAGUGGCAAAAGCUGAACAUAUUAAUCGUGGGUUUGAGUUGUUUUUCUUGUUCACGGCAAUAAAAUUGGCCGAAAUUUAUUCCUAGCAUUCAGGAAAUAUUCAGUCCUUAGCUAGACGCCUAGACUCUUCUCAAGUUUAACAAAGACCUUUUCCUAGCUCCUGAAACUGGGGAAUCCGAGAAAAUUGCUUAAAAGGCAAACAUAGUAUUGCCAUUGUGCCGUUCAAUUCAAAUGUUUCAACACUAGAAAUAAGAGAAGAUAGAAUUUCACUUAAAAGCAGCAGCAUAGGUUCACACUCUUCAAUGAUACAAUCACCUCGUUAUGGAGACAUGGCGGAUGAUGAAUCACCGGAGAUACCAUGACACCUGAAAUUUGCUACAAAUCCCUGAAAAAAUUAUAAGGUAAUCAAUGGAGAUCACAACAUGAAGAUAAAGGAAUAAUGACAGCAAAAACCAAGUAGGCGUGUCAUUGGGAAAGGAAAUUUAUUUAUGUCAAAAGACAUUACAAUUAGGCCCCAGAUUAAUUGAUGAUCACUUGGGCUUUCAUACAACAUUCCACUGUUAUGCUAAGCUUGACAGGCUAUUUUUUCAACCGAUUUCCAAUGAUUAGAGAUAUACUACAAACUCUACAUCAUAAUUACAACAAAAGAAGCCUUAUUUUUCUACAUUUAGUUCAUGACUGUGUUGGAGAUGGACAUGGGGGCAGGGCCUUUCCGGUUCUCCUCUUGUCCAUAGAACCCUGAGAUCGCCUCUCUUCUUCCCCAAUGCCAGAAAAGUCCCUGCAUGAACAUGUCAAAUUUACCAGUUCAUUAGAAACUUUUAGCCAUUUUGCAUUAUCAAAUGAUUUCAUACACAUGGUUUGACUUUAUUACCUAACGUGAAUGGGACAAUAUAAAGCAGAGCAGGUUGGCCGUGGCCAUCCAUCAAGUUCAGUGCCACAUAUGUGAUGAGAAGACCUACCAUAAAAAAGAUUAGUAAAUUCAGAAUGGAAAAACCUUGAGAUAUACAUUUAAAUAUGAUGGCAACAGGAAAUAGCAAAUUUGGGUCUUUUUAACAUCUUAAUUAUCUUUCAUUUCCAGAAAAUUCAAUAUUGUGUUUUCAAUCUUACAACUUGUAAGACAAAGAUGAUUUGUUUAUUAUCUCUCAACUUACACGAGAAACACGAUUUGUUUAUUAUUUCUUACCUAAUCCAUAAGCCAACAUUGCCCACAAAAAGUAUCCAGCCUGAAGACUCUUAUUUGCUAGCCAGUCGUACCUGUGAUGAUGAGCCAAGCACAAGCUACUAUAGGUUUUUUCAUGCGCAACUUAUUGAUUAAGUUAAGAAUUCACUCGCUGGAAAGCAUAUAUCCAGUGGGAUGAAAAAUAUUUGCAAUAAUACCAGAGGCAGUCACCAAAGUAUUUAGGAAGUAAAAGCUUGCGAGUACAAAGCACUAAUAGGGAUGUGGUGUGAGGAAAGGUCAGAGAGCUUGAACCUGAGUGAAAAUGCUAUAAUCAAUCCAGGUAAAAGAAUAUCACCAAAACCGAUGAUGCUGUAACCGCCCCAUGGGUCAAACAUGCGAGGAAUCUUCAAUAGCAUUGGGAUACCAUCCUCACCACUUUUAUCGCCACGUGCCACCUAUGAAAUGAACAUUGAAGUAAUUCUCAGCAUAUGAAGCUCCUUUUCUACCUUCACAAGGCCUGAUAGUAGUCUAAAUAGAAAAAUAGAUAUAAAUUCAAACAAGGAGGAAGAAUAUUUACCACAAUCAUCACACUUUCAUGAAACAACUUCUUGGAAACAAAUACCCAAAAGAUGUCGUACAUGAAGGCACAGCUGAGAAGAACUGUACCCACCUGAUCAACAAACCACCUAGAAUUAGCCAAAUCCAUUCUAUCUAAAAGCUGAACAUAAACUAAUCAAUAUAAAAUUACCAAAGAAUUUAGAUUAUAAGCAAAAUUUAAAUGAAAUAAGACCAUCAUCAGUUAAGGAUUAAAGACGUGAAAUUAAGGCAAUGCAAUCAUAAAUAGAACACGAAUGAUGCCUUCCGUUAUGCAAACUCUUGAUUCUGAUAAACAGCUCAUAAUUACAGUCACAAAUAAAGCCAACAGUAAAAAUGUAAUUGAAAAAAAAAAAUUGACAAUAAACAGCAAGAAGAAAAUCUACUAUUCCCUUUUUAUCUCCUGCAAGAGUUCGAAUGAGUAACAGAACUAGCAAGUCUAGCAUAAUCAAAUUUCAAGGUGAUCACCUUUGCACAUCAUAUUCUUACAUUCCCACAAAAACAAAGCAAGUAUAUAAGCAAUAGGGACUUGAAGCAAGCCCAACCAUUAUAACAAACUACACAAUGUUCAGCGAUGCCAGAUUAGUCAGCAGAAGUACUUUAAUUUCAGUUUUCUUUUAGUAGAUCACACAAAAAAAAAUCCGUUCACACGAAAGCUCUUUAAGAAAACAAACAAACAUUACCGAUGAAAAGAAUCCAAGCAUUAACAUAUUGCCAUAUUCCGCCAAUGUCGCAAUUGAGACAUUACCUUGAGAUUAGGAAUAUGGACAAUUUGCAGGACUGUUAUUAUCAGCGCAAUUCCCUGAUUGAAGGAAAAAAAUAUUAGUUGACUCUGCCCAUAUAAGUCAUCCAUCUUCACCUCCUCAAAAUUAUUGUUAGAUAACAUGUGAGAGAUGUUAUACUUCAUCCUUAAAAGUGAUCAUUAGUGUGGUAUCAUAAAUGAAAAAUGAAUAGCCAGAAGCAAGCAAAGUGGAUUUUCUUAAAGGUGUUCAUCAGACAAGUAGCAAUAUUUAGCAUCGUGGCUUUUUUUUUUUUUUUUUUCCCCUUUGCUAAGAAUCCGCAGAAUGAUUGCCACGCCUUAAUAAUGAUCAAACUUAAAUUUCAACAAACACAGAAAAUAGUAAUGACUUCCAGUAACUUUUUGCUAAGAUAAGUGAAAAAACAUAUUAUAUCGUUAGUAAAAGAUAGAGAAGUAUAUGCUUACAAGAAUAUCUUGACCGAUCCAUGCAAAGGAGACCUUGCGAUAAAUGGCCCACACAACAGCAAAUGCUAUGCAGAAUGGAGUAACAGCCAAAGUAAGAUGAGAGACAGCUCCAAAGAAAGGUACUUUGAUGAAUGAUUCUCCAGCACGUCUGAACCACCUGCCCAAGUAUGUUUACAUUUAAUGAUUAACCUUAGAAAGACAACAGUAUGAAAAUCCAUAAAACUGAAAGAACAACGAGUAUGUGGGUCCAUAAAUCCAUCAGGGAAGCCCAUACAAACUACGAGGAUAUGCAUGGAAACAAGGCCAGUAAUGAACAUUCCUCAGGCAUGGAAGGCAUGCUAAUGGACCCAACCCUUCCCCCCCCUCCCUCUGCCGCUUUAAAGUGGCCACAUACCAAUAGAAAAGACCUUGAUUGAGCCUCCCAAGUCAAGAUAACUGAACUGUUUAAAACAGCCUAUUACAAGACAUGUAGCUGUUUGAGAGUCCACCACGAAGAUUAUGUCAACGUUGAAAGUUGUAUUUAAAAUGGAGAUAUUUUUACCUUGAUAAUAAAGCAACCAAGCAAGUUUGCAAGCCCUGCAUGUACAUGAAACAAUGGAAUUAGAAUUGAUUUGUUCUUAUGUUUAUAUUGCAAGAGGAGAUGUACAUACAAGUUCAAGUAUUUGUGUGAAAGGGAAUGCAUACCUCUACACCACCUAUGCAGAAAAGAAUGACCAAUAGCUCAAGGAACCAGUUUGACAUAAGUUUGUAAAGCAUGACCAAGAAGCAUGAAGCAACUAAAACGAAUAGGACAGCAGAUGCUGUGUUAAUGUCCACAACACCACUAACACCUACUGCUUUGGCAUCUGGAAUUUCAUCUACAGCAUCCUAUAUGAACAUUAAAAAUUUGAAUCAGCAAGUAGUUAUAAGCUGAGAAGAGAAAAACAAAACAUUAGGGAACAAAAAUAGAAGGCUGAUCCUAGUUAUUAAAAAUUUAUUCAGAUGACAACCUUCAAUAACUUCUCUUGUUCAAUAGCUGUGUCUCUGGCACUCCAUGCGGACCAAUAAGAUGCACACAGGAUGGUACCAACUGCCAUCAACCAUAAAAAUACUUCAGCUACAUCAACUACCGGUCGUCGUGGAGAAUAUAACUGCACAGAGACUGCAAAAAACAAAAAGUCUCAGAAACACAACCGGUGCCAAUUCUUAAUGAUGUAUUCUUUUGAAAGAAAAUUGCUGAAACAAACAUAAAAUAAGAUGUUAAAGUUCAUCUUUUUCUGCAUGCACAAAAAAAAAAUACGCAAAACGUUUUACUUACCUGAUGAAGUAUUCAGAAGCAUCUUUUCCAAGCUGGCACCAGCAUCCUGGGGCAUCAUGACAGCUGGUAUGUGUAUAUCUAGAUCAGUUUCAUCAGGAUCACAGACCAUCUUAUACAGUUCUGCAAAGGCAGUAAAAGGAAAAAAAAUAAGUUGUAAGGCCAUGAUUGAUCAGUUAACAUUGCAUUCCAUCUGCUAUUCUGCCAGGCUAUUGUGCUUUUAUAUUGGAUGAUGCUAUAAAGUAGAAUACUCUAAACAAGGCCCUAUAUCAUGACCAUAAAAAAGCGGAAAAUGCGAUUUAUAAUAAGGUCCUUUUUUAGUUUCAGGUGAUAUAAAGAAGCAUUUGCUACUCAAUUUUUGGUGCUUGCACGAGAACAAAAAAAUGCUGAUUACCUUUUUGGUUAUUUAUGAUGAGGAGGGCUGAAGCACCAGCAGCCUCCGCAAUAUUUGCUUUAGUUGUAAAUUUGCAGUUGCCUCGGUCAACCAUGAUGACAUCUCCAGCAUACUAACAGAAUCCAGAUAACACAUUGACUUCAAUAAACAUUUACUACAUUCCCCAAAUGUGUAUAACCAUGGGUAAAAUAUUAAGAGUAUUAAGGUAGUUCAAAAGGAAAAACCUUAUGCUUUGGCAUGCUGCAACAAUCCCGGGGAUGUGAAAGAGUAAGGUGAAUCUGGUUUGCAUUUUUCUCCUUUGACACUAUUGUGGUGCCAAAUCUAGCACCCACACCAACAAAUUCUUCAUUCUCUAUGCCAUCAAUCCACGUCUGAACUUUUACCUAACAAAAUGCAAUGACCAUUAAUGGUUAAAUUGCACAGAUAAAAACAUCAUAAAGCUAAAGGAGGCAAUCCAUACAGUAAGCUAAUCGAUGCCAACAUUUCUGUAAAACACAUAUAGCUUACUACUAUCUUUAACGCGGAUCACAUUGUGUGCAAAAGCAUGUUUAACAGAGAAUUUGUAGUUGUCAUUCCAAUAAAAGCUACCCAAAAGCAGCCGCAAACCAAAAUGAUAAACAUGAAGAAAGAAAAGAGGUAGGUAACUGAAUAAUGAUAAAAAGAAAGUAGGUGGCUCUCAUCUUAUUUUAUUACUCCAACUAGUUUUAAACUUUCUCAAGACCAGAUAACCCAAGUGAACAAUAGCAGUUGAAUUGAGAGAUAUAAAACAUAACACCAUCUGCAACUUUACUGGUAAAGCAUCAUGGUGAUUGAAACCACAUGCACCCAAUACAAGUCGCAUAAGUCCAGAAAACACAAGCGAUCAAAAAAUCAAUCACACAAGCAACCCAAUACCCACUUCACCUUUUUAUGCCUAUUUUAUUUUUCCCCAGGAAUCAAGUCCUCCGAAGAUAAACAAAAAUCAAUGGAAAACCAGCUAAAGUACUUCCAUAAUCAUAAUCUCAAUCAAGAUAUAAAUAGCAACAGUUAGCUGCAAAAUACAAGAAAUUCAAACUAAACACAUAUAAGAUAAGCAAAUUGAUUAUUGUUACCAUCAUGAUCAGCUUACAUAACUAAGCCAACAAGGGGGGCAGGUGAGAAUCAAAAAGACUAAGAACUGGGUAGACAAGAAGAUACCAAAACGAAGUCGUUCUCACAACCAGGCUUCUUUGGAGCCAAAUCGUCGUCGUGAACUAUGUCACCAGCUGUGACAGAUGCUGGAUAACAGACAAGGGAAACUACAGCAACCGGAAAGAGAACCCAGCUUAAUCUCUUGAAAUCCAUGAUUUGAAGUUCUCUUUUAUGUCCUCUUUCUCCGCAUCACACAAUCUGAGAGAAGAGAUGGGUGGAGAGAGAGAGAGAGAGCGUGUGACACAGGCAGUGUUUUUUGUUCCUGUUUUCUCUUUCUGUUUUGUUCUUGGUUAGUUUAGUAGCGGUACUGUAACAAAUGAUUAAAAUAGUGACGAUUUAGAAAUUUUACGCAAGCUGAAAAUAGAAUAGAAAUAUUAAAUGGGAGCAAUACCAGUCAACGUCCCAACUUUUUAUAAUUUCGCAAGCGGGGACAUAGUUUUUUUCAUUUGUAUUAAAUAGAUCCCUCACUGAAUAGCAAUGGUUGAAACACGGACACCCCCAUCAGAGUUCUUCUUCUUGGUUGCAUAUUCAUUCGUAUUUCUUAACAAGAACAGGCCAACAGGUGAGUGAAUGCUGACGCUAACAAAUUGAAGACGAUUGGGGUAAUUUUGUCAUUUCUCCAGGAGUCAGGGACCUUUUUUUUCCUUUUCCGUCUUGUUUUGAUGUAAAUAAAUAAACUAGGGACUUUAAUGUUAUAAACCCGAAUAAUGAGAACCGUGCGGAUCUACUGCUUUAAUAAAUGCGACCUGUGACUGGGAGUGGGCGGCACAGCGAAUGCGAUGUCGACCGAUGCAACGAACCAACAUCAUAUCGUAUCGUAUCGAUUCAGAACGACGUCGUCUAGCGGAUGAAACACUGUAUUUCACUGGUUUUGGCUCCACGUGAUUUUAACAGUCGCAACAGUCGUUUAUUAUCAAAACAUGUUUUUUUUUUCUUUUAAGUUUAAUCCUAUUUUAAUUCAAUUAAAGAUCCCUAAGUUAUAUGCACGUAACUUAUAAUCUUUUCACAUAAAUAGUGAGUGGACCAGCCUUCAAUUAAUACAAUCAAGAAUGUACAUGAUUAGAAAAUUAUUGGUAAAAAUAGAAAAAGAAAAACAACAAAAUGAAGAUGGGAAGUCACUUCAAGUUGUCUCUGAGAACAUGAUCGAUGUUGUGAGAUGUGUGUCCUAGUUUUGUAUUGUUGUUGCAUGAAGAAGAAGAAGACGACGACGAAGGACCCCGACAUGUACUGUCGAAGGCUGUUAUCUUGUCCUUCGAUGUUAGACCAAGCAUGUGCCCAUUAGCCGGAGAAUGCUACGGUACAGAAUCUGUACCUUACAGCACCCUCACAAAAUGGCUGUGUGCCCCACUUGGGCCCACUUUUCAUUUUAGUGUGCAAGGGUGGUGGCUGUAAGUAAGGUACAGAUACUGUAACUUAGCCACAGCCGUGCCGAUUAUUUACCCCUACUACCUGCAACUACUGGUCCUUGAAUAAAGGAUAAUGGAGCAUUCCAAAUUGAACAAUUAUCUACCCGUAGAAAAAUGGUAAAAAGGAAAACGAAUUCCAUUAUUUAUUUAUUUAUUUUCCUUCUGUUGGGUGUGCAAGCAAGUUAUCGUAGUGGCUUCAAUUUCAUCAGUUCAUGAUAUAGUUAUUAAAAUGUUUUAUGGAAUAUAGUACUCUUAUCCUUCUUAAAAGUAAUAUAAAUUGUCCAAUCGUUCGGUUGCUUUUGGAGAUUAGCAUAAUCUAAACUUAAUGGCUUGUCUUUUAUGAUGGGCCAAUUAAAGCACCUGAAUUUGCAUCUUGUCAAUUGUCAAAACAGUCUAGAGCAAUAUCUGUACGCACUUACUUCGAAGCAUCCUUUGGCCAUAAAGCUACAAGGUAGGGAUAAUUCUAUGAGCAACCAAUGUUCGACUUUUAUUAAGGUUGAUCUGGUGAAGGUUUUGAAAUUUUGAGCUGAUCUUUCAUAUAUAAAGACUAAAUUACGCCGCCGGCGAAUUAAAUUAAAUUAAAAAAAAGGAAAAUAAAAUUAUUAGCUGGAGAGAAUCCAAUGAUGUUAUUUUUUCUUAGAAAAUGAGUAAUGUCAAUUAGCUAAAAUAAAUAUUGAUUUGAUUUGCUUUUAGAACGUGAAGAAAGAAAGUAAACAGUAGGAAGAUUUUUUCCAGCAAUCAAUUCUAAAGCAGUUAAAAGUCACAUGUCUGGGUGAAAAACUUUCUGAGAUGAGAUGACAAAAAUAAAGAAAUUGGAAACAAAAUCCAGUGGAUUCUGAGCACAUGGUUUCACUGUUCUUGAGAGAGCUGAAAUGGCAAGGCAACAAAGAGAGAAAAACAGAGCAUUAAAUCCAACUUCUGAUAUCAACAGGCUUUGAUCCAAUAGAAGAAACCUUACACUUAUAAUGUUAUAAUGUUGAGUGCAAGAGUUUGAGUCUCUAUAAAAAAUUUAUAGAGAUUAGUUUUAGUACUCCCUCAAUUAUCAACUAAUUGAGUGGAGACAGUCUUUUUCUUACGAAAUGUGAGUAGAGUAAGAACCUCUCGAAUAUUUGUGAGAAUUGAAAGUAUCUAGACAAGUGCUUCCGUGUGUUAAUGUAUGGCAGUGGUUCCAGUUGUAUAGUAUGAUUAUAAACAUUAAUUUUAAUAGCUGAUGUAAUGUCAAUAAUCAUUUAUGUAUAUCAGAAUUAAAAACAAAUAUGUAUAACAAAAUUAAAAAAAAAAAAAAUCCAACUUCAGAUAUUGCACAAUGAAAAAGGCAGAUGCCCAGAUAAAGGACAGAAUGCCUGCCAACACCCCAUUCACAGCAUUCUUCACUGUGGGAUUUAUUUCUAUGUGCACAAUAGUUUGCAAGAUCAAACUAAAUAGCCUUUUUCAUCCAGCAUUCUCUUCAAAACAAAGAAUUCGUAUAAUUCUUCCAAGAAAAUACCUACUGCAUGCUUCGCUGGUAAAAAUUUAAAGAAUCACAUCACAGGCCAAAACAAUGUAAAGCAAUAUCUAUUUAGUAAUGAGGCAUCAAGGGCAUUAUUUGUUUAGAAAAGUUUGCUAUAAAAUCUAGAGGUGAGCGGUAACUACUUAGGGAAUAGAUAAGCAUCUGUAAUGCUUGGGAUUUGACAAUGCCUAAGUCUGCCAUCAGCUCUAUAAUCUGAUUGGCUGAGGAGGUUGUUGGUAACAAAGUUUUCUGAUGAUGCAUAGCUUCCCCCAGGAAACGUUAUAGCUCCUCCGUUCAUUUGAAUGCCUAAUGUGUUAUCAUUCUCUUGGGGUAUAUUUUCCAAAAGAAACUGGCUGGGAAUGCUAAAACCAUUGGUAUACUGAUGAAGUGGGAUAGGACAUCCAAUUCCAGUGCUCGAACUCUGGUUUCCACUGUGGUUUAAAUAACGGGUGUCUAUGGAACCCAUUUGAGCAAAACUUGUACUCUUUCCUUCUAGCUGUAUGUUUGGAAGAUAUCCAAAAUGAGUGCUACAAUCAUGCAUUUGCUUUGCCUCUUCUAAAUUCACACUGGUUUUGUUCUCAGAAACUCUUGGUUGAAUAUAAUUACUCAAAAAGGUGUCAAGCCUAUUGUUCGAGUCAUGGGACUUGGUUAAGACUGUAGGCAAGGUUAAAUACAUAGAAGAAGCUAACUGUUGAGUGGGAUUGCUGGGUGAAAAGCUUUGUUCAACAGAUAAUCUCAUCCUUUCUGCUUUGUCCUUAUCAGUUGAUAUCAUGGAUUCAACGGCUUGGCUGUAACCAACUCGAUCUUCCCGUGCUUGGUACUGUUUAUUGAAAUUACCGGUCCUUUUUCCCUUUAUAGACCUCUCUGAAGACCCAUCAUUGCUAUUUAGUGCUCUAAUGGCCAAUACAACACUCUUUGGAUGCUGCACCUGAACAUUCUGGUCGGAAGCACCAGAAGUGUUAACAGUUAAUGCUAAUUUCUUUCCUUUCUCCUUUUCUAGUGAUGUUAGUGGCCCAGUGGGUUGGCCGCAGGCAACUUGAUCACUAGUCUCUGAUGAUUUGUUGCUUUUAGUGAUCUUUUCUAAAGAUUCAAUUCUGCUGUUUUGAACUCUCAAGCCUGAUUUGAAGUUGUUGAGGUAAUGAACUUCAGUGUCCUCCUCAAAGUUGUUUUGCUGUUGUCUGUGGACAAUUGCUCCAUUAUUGUUCAGAUGUUGCGCUCGGACAUCCUCCUCAUUGUCGUUGUGUUGCUGAAAAUGCACAUUCGUCUCAAAGUUGUUGUGCUGUUGGGAUUGAACUUUCUUUCCUCUGGAAUUGCGUUUUGAAUUGCGUUUUCUCCUCCCUUUCUUCAGAGCAUUAUCAUCAGCAACCAACUUGUUCAUUUCGUCCCUCAUCCAUGAAAACAAAUUUGCUCUUUUAACUUGAAGCUCCUCUAAUAAAGACUCAGUGAAGUUUUUAACACCAUGUAUUGCAGCAGGGUCAUAAACAAUACUUUUACUCUUCUUUCUAUUGAUUCCUUGACGAGAAUCACUCUUCACUUCACCAUCAGCAAUAUUCUGCUUACUAACCCUUUUGAUUUUCUUUUCUUUACCUUUUGCACAUUCAGUUUGAUCCCCAAGACCAGGAUUGCUGCUGUGGUUCAGCUCAAGCCUACUAGCAUUGCAAGUUUCAUCAUCAUCAAGUGAAAUCAUGCUAGAGGCCAAUUUAUGCUUCUUGAGAACUAGCUGACCAAUUGAACUUGAUUUUGAAUCGUCACUUGAAGAAUCUAAGUCAUUAUCUUUCCUCCUGAACUCCCAGCGCUGCUGAAACUUCAGCUCAUCUUUCAUUGUAGAGUUGGGUGACAUCAUAAAACUAAAAACUGUACUGACCUGGGACAGUACGUUCACCAAAGUAAUCUUGGAUCACCCCCUAUAACUUGAUUCCAACACCUGGAGAUUUUUAAAAUUAAUUAUUGGACUCAGUACUAAAAUCGACUUCUCAAUAAAAUGCUAGGGAAUAUAGCUAAAUAACAAAAGAAAAGGGAAUGAUGAAAUUAUGGGUCAAACAUUAGGAGUAUGCUAUAGUGAUAUGAUUUUUUAUUUGUACGAUGAAAAAUUUAUUAUAUCUUUUAUAAUUUUAUCAAAAUUAUUAUUUAAGAUUCUGGAUUUGAUAUAGAACAACUUAAUAUUUCUUCAUUCAUUCUUAUCCAAUCACAAAAGAACCCCUUUUGAGUAGAUGGGUUAAUUUCUUCAUCUUGAUGAAUUGUAAAAUAAAAGGGGAUUCUAUUAUUAAUUGCAUCAAUUUUUUUAUAAUUAUUGGACCCAAUCCUAGUUUUUUUAUUACUGCUGGUACCAAUAUUCAUAUCAACCCAAGCUUCCAUUUGGCCUUAAUUUUUAAGACAAAAAUUAAGAAUGCUCUAAUUAAAUUGUAUUUAUUAUAUAUUAUUAAAUUUUUUUUAUAAUUACAAUUCUUUUUUCACAGCAGUUGUAGUUUAAAAAUUACACCGCCUCAAUCUCAAACAAAACCUAUAUUAAAUUAAGAUUACAAACUUGAAAACUCUCUAAAAUUCUAGUUCUACAACUUAUACGAUACUCAUCGAAAAAAAAGAGACAAAAGUUAACAUGCAUUUAGCCGGUAUAUAUUUAACAAUUACGGGGAAAAAAAGUCGGAUAUUAAAAAGCAAGAGCAGAACUAGCUCAGUGAAGAUUGAGUACCUAAAUUUCACAAUUCGGGACGCCAAUUUCUACAUAAACUCACAACCUAACAAUCAAGGAAGAAAUUUAAACCUGACCUCUGUUAACUUAUCCAUCAGACAUGCCAAAAAAAUCCAAUGAAUUCAUAAGCUUGCUUAACGAUUCAACAUACGUGAUCUGUACAUAAAAAAUUAACAUAGCAACAUGUCCAAAAAAUGAAAACAAAGCUGUUUGCAGCAUCAACUUAUAAAACCAGAAACCAAACAAGCAUUCAGUUCCGAAGUUAACAACUUCUGGCAAGAUCACUCUCGCAAACACAAACCUUUAAACAUGAUAAGGCAGAUAAACUAAACGUUCGAUGUGGGUUGAAAUGUGUUCUUACUUACUGUGAAUUGCUGAUGAUAGGGAUCGUUCCUCUUUUCACAAGUCCCACUUCUAACAAAGCUGUGUCUGAGUCUCACUGCAUUUAUGUUUCCACUUUCUCUCUGUAAGGAAACAGCGAAUACGUUUUCAUCUGUCUCCUGUUUUGUUUCCAUAUGUGCAAGGAAGAGUCUCUGCUGAGAGAGUGUGUGUAUGUGUCACGGUGUCAGGGUGCAUUUGUGUUUGCUAGUGUUUCUGUUUAUGUCAGUGUGAGUUGGGUCUUAGGUGGGAUGUGACUCAGAGAGUUAUGACCGAUGGGGAUGGUAACGACAAUUAACCAAUAUUAAAUCACAGGUUUUAAUUUUCUUUAAAGAAAUUAAUUACAUAAUUUCCUACCUUUUAAUCAAGUUCAGAGCUCUUUUUUUAUUAAAAAAAAAAAAUUAUUAUCACCUGUUUCCAUCAAAGCUAAGCUAAGCAGAUUUCUUGCCAUGUAUGUGUCUCUUUUGCCUUUACUGGAGAUUUGCACCUUACUCUUAUGCUAGUUUCCUUCAAGUACUUUUUGGCAGCUGUAAAAGAAGUCUCAUUUCUUAUUCUUUUGAUUCUUUUUUUUUUUUUUUUUCUCAAAGUAAUAAAAUCAUAAACUUCUAUGCUGUAAAUUAGGGGAUAAUUUUCUUUGGAUGGCAAGUUACCAUAUCAUGCUAAAAUAAAUGCUUAACCAGAUUUGGUAUUGUAGUAGGAAAAAUGAUAGAAUAUCUCUAAGAUAUCAUGUUACUCAUACAAUAUAUAAAUGAUAUUAUAGUAUGUGUAUAUUUAUUUUCAAAAACUAAUAAUUAAGUGAAAAUUAUAUAAAAUAAAAUGAAAAUGGAAGUUAUAUUAAAUUAAUUCGUCUUGCAGUAAUUAUUGCAUGCAAGACAUAUGGAGGAAGUAAUCAGGUAAAAACAAGCUGGUCAAUUCAUUGCUUUGCAAAAGGCAUGCAUCAACUUAACACAUGAGUUUCAAAAAUUGAUUGUUAUGCCAUAUAUUUCACAAUCAAGGCACAGAAAUGCAUGAGCAUUACCCUUACGGGGAAAGACUUCUUUGACCAUUUUCUUUCAACAAAAUAUCAAAGCUGCAUUCAUUCAUUUGAAGUUAUGGGCUGAGGCACGACCAUUUUGUUUUUCUUUUUCACACGUGAUAUUAAAUAGAUUUUAGCAUUGUCUACGAAUCCAGCUGGCACAAAAUUACCAACAAAACGAAGGCAAUUUGUUUGUCCAAUUUGACUCCAAUUUUGCUAGUGAAAUAAAUCCCUUAUCCCUAAAACUUCAUGUUUAACAAAUAAUACGCAUCUCAAAUCAGAAUUUGUUACGAACAAACUUCGCUCACCGAAAUGGGAUGCAUCAUUGGUUCAACGAAGGUGGUUUCGGUCAUUAAUUUACAUUUCCAUAAAAUGAUCGGUACUAAGUUUCAGAGAUAUAUCCACUUACAACAAGAUACCUUCAAAAUUUGUUGUAUUGCCUAAUAUCUCUGGAGCUUUUCUGGAAUAACACCAUCAUAUUAACCAUGCCGAAAGAGCCCAAGCAUCAUCAUUUAUCUAGUGUAGGACUCUUAAUGGCUUCACUUCAAAUAUAAUGUACCCUUAUAAAUGUACACCCUUGGGGCAUUUAUCUAACUCAAGGAUUCAAACCAUUUCUUUGUAUUUAAGUGCAAAGAUUCUGGCCUCUCUUUUAAUGAGACUCUGGUAACCUGCAGCAGCAUGAAGAAUGGUUAAUACAAUGUUUGUCGAGGCAUUUAUAACCUAGGAAACCACAUAAGAGCAGCAAAUAAAUUCCCACAUCAGCAAACUGACACUGGGCAGUAAAAAAAUAAAAAUUCUUUGGUAGAGCUGUUUACGUCCUUAAUCUAAUGCUCAGAAGUAUCAACCAAGAAUGUGUAAAGGAGGGAAAGAAUAGAGUUAACUUACCGCCAUGGGAAUUCACUAGUGUCUAUUCCUGCUUGGUGAAGUUCAUCAACAUACUGCAAUGCUUCCCUGCUUUCCUCACGGUCAUCAAAGAACUCCUUUUUGUCACCUUCAAUUUGAUAUGUUUCAUGACCUUUGCCAGCAACUACCUGGCAACAUUGAUUAUAAAAUCAGAUAACAAGGAUAUAAAUGAUUAAAAUCACGAUAACAAGGGAGGACGGGCAAGGAUAGGUAUUGAUUAAUCAAUAAACCAUUCAACAAUGCAAAUUGUAUAUACCAUCUGUUUCCCAAAUGUCAAACAGAGAUCUGAAAGCUACAUGCAAAAUGAUUUGUUUAAAUUACAGAAAACUGCAUUUAAAUUUACUUUGCUUUACAAAACAGCUAGUUUUUGGAACAUUUUCGCCUUCUUUGGUUAACCAUACCCAAGUCCUUCGAGCUACUCAUAAUAAAAACGUAAAUAUUCAAUAUCUUAUGAAUAUUUCAACUUCAGAAAAACCACUAUGAUCUGGAACUAACCUACUUACUUUCUGUGGUUCUGCAUACCCUGUCAGUUUCAAGCGUAAACUUUAUAUACCCAUUUCUAUUGUUGUUCAACAUAAAUCCAAACAAAAGAAAAGCAUAAUGGGAUACAGAAACUUACAACCAUAUCACCUUCUUCACCCAUGGCAACAGCACAACGUACUGCUACUCUUCUGAUAUCAUGCAGAAAAAGACGAUGACCAUUUGGAAGAGGAGGGUAGUAAUCAUUCUCUCCAUAUUUCAAAUACUCCUGCAUUGUCCAUCCCACACCAGCCAACAUGUCAUCCAAGAUGUCCACUGGGGAGAUGAAAUAUACAGGCAUUAGUUCCAGAGACUGCAUUACUAGUCAUUUUAGUGUGUGUUUGUAGAACAUUAUAUACGUACGUGGAUCUUCAUUCAUUGGAUUGUCUGAUGUCAGAAUAGUCACAUCACUUUUAUCCGUCGCAAUUUUUGUCAUCAGAGGUCUCUUACCUCUGUCACUCUCACCAGCACAACCAACGACUGCAGGUAAAAGUAAAACAAAUAGGUCAGGGAAGAGUCCAAAAAUGCAAAAUAAUGGAUCUAGUCACCUUAGGGCAAAAUUAGAAGAUGAUGUUACUUUCAUAUACAGAACACACACGCAUUUUAUAUAUGAAGCAUACCAGUUAUUAUCCUCCUUGGUGCAAGCUCCCUCACUGAAUCAAGUAGUCUAGAAAGGGCAUCAGGAGUAUGAGCAUAAUCCACAAUCACCCCAAAUGCUUGCUCCUCAUCUAUCAACUCACAUCUCCCUGGAACUGCAUCGACCUCUUCAAUCCCUCUCACAAUAUCCUCCAAUGGCGCACCAACUGCUAUUCCAACCGCAACAGCUGCAAGAAUGUUGUAAAUAUUAUGCCUUCCAAGCAAUCCUGAAGAAAUCUCCAGUAUCCCAUGGGGGGUAUUAACCAAAACCUGAGUCUCAAACAAUGAGAGUUCAAACUUCAAAGGAUGAACAUCUGCUUUCUUAUUCUCCAUUGCAAAUGUCACAACAGGCACAUCUGGGUUCCCUUGAGCAAUAAAAGACGUGGCAUUUGGGUCAUCAAUGUUGACCACCUUCCUAUGUCUCUCUGGAUCCACCAUCCUCGAAAACAACUUUGCCUUGGCAUUCCUAUACUCCUCUUCAGUCCCAUGAAAAUCCAUAUGAUCCCUGGUCAAAUUAGUAAAAACCGCAAUAUCAAAAUCAACCUCACUGCAUCUCCCUAAUGCCAAUCCAUGAGAAGAAGCCUCCAUGACAACAGCCUCAGUUCCAUUAUGGAGCAUCUUGGCCAUCAAAUUUUGAACCAUAACAGCAUCUGGGGUCGUUCUUGGUGAUUCCAACUUAUUGUCCCCAUGAAUGUAAUAUGAAACCGAGCUCAACAUCCCAGUCCUCAACCCCAUUGCUUCAUACAUUCCUUUAGUUAAAUAAGCAGUAGUUGUUUUCCCAUUAGUACCAGUUAUCCCAAUCACUGCCAUAUUCUUCGACGGGUGCCUAUAAAAAGAGGCAGCCAAUGCAGGCAACACCAAAUUAGUAUCCUCCACAAUCACCAAAGCCUUACAACCCAAAGUCUCCUCUAUAUCAAUCUCUUUACUAGCAACGACAGCAACAGCACCUCUCUUAUCAGCCUCACUCAAAUACAAAUGUCCGUCAGUUUUCCUCCCAACACAACACACAAACAAAUCACCAGCACUCACCACUCGAGAAUCAUGGUGUAUUCCAGUGAUCUCAACCUCUAAAUCACCGUAAACAGAAACUGGCACCACCUUACUCUCAUCUAACAACUCAGCUAAACUCAUUUUAAACUUGGGUUCCACAAUUCUAGCUCUACUCUUACCAAAACUAUCAAAAUCCAAAUCAAAAGACGAAUCUAACACUAACCCAUUUCCUUUAUCUUUAUACUUAUCACUAGUAGCAUCAAGAUUCACAUCGAACUUACCUGAUUUACUAUCAUCGUCAAGACCCUCAUCUUCUUCAUCUUCAGAAACCACUCUUAAGCCCUGUAACUCAUCAAUCUCUUCCAAGUCAACAACUUCCUCGGGCUCCAACUCUUCAAUGCCUUGGCGAACAGUGUCAUCUUCUCGCUUCUUGGGCUUUAUAAGUCCUUUUUUAACAUACUCAUCUCGUUUCAUCGCAACAGCUUUAUCAAUUUCACCAAAAAAAUCAUCUUGUUCAGAAACAUCACCCGUAUUGACCGGUGGGUCAUCCACGUCAGCAAUGGCGUUGAGGUAAGUGGACUGAUUUGCCUUGAAGUCGUCCUCUUGACGCUUUCGAGCUUUGGCGGCUUGACGGUGGAUUUGCUGGAACUUUGAGACUCCAUGGGCGGUGUCUUCUGGGGCUUCUGGCGGGUCGUCGUCGGACGGUGUCGGGUAAAACUUUCCGUCAGGGCCGAUGGCCUUUAACGUACGGAGGGAAAGGAAAUUGAAGCGCUUUGGAGGGAAAGAAAUGAAUGGUUUCGGAGGGAAAUUGUGAUGAAAUUUGAAGGUGAGGGUGGGAAUUGUGAAACUGAAACCCAUUUGGAUAUUUGAUUUUGAGUGUUUAAAACCGAGGGAGGGGUUUAAGCAUGAAGAUAGCUUACGGGUUUACGUGUUCGGUUUCCUGUUUCCACGUUCAAACCGGUGCGUCGUCUUUAAUGCGCUGGAGCUUUUAAGUUUUUUAAAUUUAUUUCCUAAAGUACAUAUAUGUAAUUAACAAAAAAUAUACAUUUAUAUAUCAAAAUUAAUUCUUAUAAAAUUUUAACUAACAAAUAUUAUUUUUAAAUUACAUACAAAUCUUAUAAUAUUAAAUUUAUCUCAUUUUUUUAUUAUAUUAUUUUUAUCUUUUAACUCUAAAUUCUUAUUUUUUUUUAAAUACAAUACUAUAAAUUAUGAAAUAAAGUCAGUAUACAAUAUUUUUUUUAAAAUAAUUUAUCUAAUUAAAUUUUCACUUAAAAUAAAAAAAAUUAAUUUAUUUCAAGUUGUUUUAAAUAAUAGUAAUAAAAAUAAGUUUUAUGAAAAAAUUUGGACCCUUUUUUUCAUUUAAAAUGAAAAGUGUUGGAUAGUAGUAUUCUUGAUGUCCACUUUAGUGCAAACUAGUUACUAAACACGGCCAAAGUACAAGAGUGAGGAUAUCAUUAAAAUACAUAUUUUAAUACAUUAAAUUUUUAUUUUUUGUUUUUUACUAUAUUAAAAUUUAUAUUUUUUGUUAGUUAGUAGCAUUUGCACCAGAUAAUGAUAUAUAUUUUAACUAAUCAUGAUAAUUUACAUGCAUAUAUGGAAGUUGUAAAAAAGUUAAGAGGAAUGCUCCAUGAGCACGACUUUCUUAACAUUGCUCCUUGACCAUUUAUUAAUCAUUAUGUGUAUACUCCAACUAUUGAAUUGUGUUCUACAUUGGCUAAUAAAGAGGAGAUACUUGAAUUUAUAAAUAAAAUAAGCCACUCUACCCGAUAGGCUAGUAUUUUAAGUUGGAUAUCUAAAAAUUCUAGACCCUGCUGUACCGUACANNNNNNNNNNNNNNNNNNNNNNNNNNNNNNNNNNNNNNNNNNNNNNNNNNNNNNNNNNNNNNNNNNNNNNNNNNNNNNNNNNNNNNNNNNNNNNNNNNNNNNNNNNNNNNNNNNNNNNNNNNNNNNNNNNNNNNNNNNNNNNNNNNNNNNNNNNNNNNNNNNNNNNNNNNNNNNNNNNNNNNNNNNNNNNNNNNNNNNNCCCCCCCCCCCCAGCAAUUGGUAUCAGAGGUAGACCUUAGUAGCCAGAAUGUGAUGAUGGAACAACUCAUGUAUGUCGGACGAAAGGACCGAGGUCCAGUGGUGGUUUUGUCCGAGGGGGGAAUUGUUGAGUUGUGUUCCACAUUAGCUAGUAAAUGAGAGAUAUUUUAGUUUAUAAGAAGAAUAAAUCACUCCACCCAAUAAAUUAGUCUUUUGAAUUGGAUACCUCGAAAUCCUAAACUAAGCCCCCCCAACACCAACCAAUCAUGAUAAUUUACACACAUAUAUGACAAGCAGUAAAUGAUUGAAUAGAAAUACCUCAAGAGCACCAAAAACCUUCUCUUAUUUAGUAUGUGUAAGUAAACAGGGAAGUAAUCGGCUGUUUUAAUCCACCUUGUUUACAUAUAUAGAAAAUUCUAUUUUCUCACAAAUUCUAUUGGGCUAAUAUGUAUUUUCUUUUAAUUUUUCUUAUUGAAUCUAGAAGUUUUAGGGUUGAUUUCUCAUAUUACAAUAAUUUUGAAUUUAUUUUGUAGUUAAUGCAAUAAAUAUUUACUAGAUUAAAUCAUAUUUAAUUAAUUAAAUUAGUAAAAUACAAUGAAUUUUUUAAUUGAUGAAAUAUACGUUCAUUGAAUUGUAAAUGAAUGGGGUUUAAUGGCUAUAGUUUUUGUUUCAAUGGGAGUUCAUGUAGUGAAAGUCUAAGAACUUCAAGAUGAACUCAUGAACAACUAAUUAUAUAUGUAACAUGAAAGAUAUAGGUCAUUUGCUUGCCACUAGUUCUGAGUAAUUUCUGAAAUUUGUAUAAUUUCAUUUAGGCAGCUACAUAGAGAUUAUUGGUUAUCAGAAUUGUGAAAAAAAAAAAAAAAAUUAGUUUGAUCAUGGAAUAGAUCACUACAGUACGAUAUUGCUUAAUUAGGUUCACGCCAUUGUUUUUGUGGUUCUGUAAUUGGAAUUCUGCAACUAUUCAAUCUGCCAUCUCAUUCACCAUAGCUUAUCAGAAUUUUUUUUUUUUUAAUUGCUUUAUACAGCAUUGAUUGGUGGAUAAAUUUGAAGUUUCCUCACUGUUCUAGUCUUGGUUAGCUGUAACCGGUGGAAUCUCUUUUAUAGUUCAAUUAUAUUGUUUGAUUUGCAUAAUCUUUCUUAGUGAUCAGGAAAUCAAAUACAAAGCAGAAGAGUCAUUUGGAAUAUUAUUUAAAAUAUCGCCGGUUUAGCUCAAUUUAAUAAGCUAUAUUAUUCUUAUUCAUGUCAGUGUUUUUAUGUUUCAAAUUUCUUUCUUUUAACUAAUUCAUUUGUUGGAUUUUAUCCAUGUAAUUAAUAAUUUUCUGCUGUGUUUAACAUCAUUAUCUGUUGGCUUAUUCCCAGUUUUCGACGGAGGUUGCCUGGUGGAGCAGAGACUGGAUUGGUAGGGCCAGGCCAAGUCCAGUCCGCGUGUCAGAAAAUCGAAAUCUCAGGCCCAGGCUAAACCCAAAUUGCUGGUAUGUUCACUAAUGAAAUGACACAUAGCAACUUUAAUUUGGCCAUCCGAGAUUGGUAGAAGUGCACUUUCAUGGCCUGCCUCCUCGUGAUUGGCCAUCUAACUAAGAAAAGAAGACGUGUUUUGCGGGGAUAAUAGAUGUACCAUACGAGAGGAGGAUUUGUGACUGGCCAAAGUAUCUGAUGAAGACUAACAAUAGGGAUCUCAUAUUUUUUAUUUUAAAUUUUAGUUUAAAUAAUGUCAUUUAUUUAUUGGUUAAUAAUUUUUUUAUAAGAUUUAAGUGAAUUAAUUAAAUUAUUCUCACUUAAAAAAUAACAUAUCAUUUAAGAUGAAAUUAAUGAUAUAUCAUUUGAAAUAAUUUUUUAAUAUAAAAAAUUUAGAACGUGUAACACUAUUCAAUUUAAUCAUAUAAUAAAAUAAUAGAUUUUGUUAUAGAACUGCCAACUGUAGAGCCUACUGUAAAAUUCAUUAAAAUUUAUAUCACAAAUAUCAGUAAAUCUCGAAACAAGAUUUACUGCUUUGUUAAAUAGUAAAACAUUUUAGUUUUCAAUCAAUUGGGCUGAUAGAAUACUCUCACACAAACUUUUUUCUGUAACCCGCAUGAUUAGUUCGGUCAUCAGGGACGUUUCUAGAAUAAAUUACAACAAAAUUAUCAGCAGAGGUCGGUUCUUAUUAUCAACAUCAUUAUCUCCAUAAUUACUAUAAAAUAUGUGCACUCGCAUUUAUUAUUUUUUUCAUGAUUGAGGAUGCCGUUGAUUUUUGAAGUGGUAUUUGGACCAUUAAUAAUCACAUGCUUCAUUCACUUGCCGUCCCACUAAUUGAUUGCAAUCAUCCUCCACCACGCGUACUUAUAACCAAUUGUAUACCCUCCACCGAAAAAAAUCAUGCAGAGGAAAUAAUUAAUAUAUAUAAUUGUGGCAGCAAUACACUAAUUUUUUUUUUUAAACCAUCUAAUUUCCGGCGAUCACAUUGGGUCUGACUAAUUUAGAUUUUGAGUGUACUUACAAUUAAAACUCAUUACCCCUCCUAAAUGGUGUGUUUAGUGAAGAUCGAAUUCAAGCAUAAAUUACUAAUACUCUUUAUAAUUAAAUUCAACCAUAAAUUACUACUAUUCUCUUAUUUCCGUCUUUCUUUCUUCAAUCAGAGAAACAUAAUUUUAUUCAAUAGUACCAAACAGUAAGAAAAAAUUAGUGUAUAUUAGUUGAAGGUGAUAAAAUCAUUCAAUAAUCGGACUUAAAAUAACUUUUAAAGUUUGAGUAGAUCAUUAUACUUCAAAGUGUACUUGUUAUGUUCCAAACCAUCAAACCACCAAAUGGGGUCUGAGUGUACUUGCGAAAGACAUUCCAACGCUGAAGUCAUAUAAUUUCAAGUAGAAUUUAUAAUUAUGCUUUUGAAUUCCUUUUUAUUUGAAAAGAAACUGGCCAAAAGUCAUUUUCUCGAUCUUUUUAGCUACUCUGAAGAGUGCAGAGUUGGCAGGAGAUACAAUUUUAGAUCUAAAUCCUCAUCGUCCUUUUUUUAUUUUUAAUUUUGGAUAGCCAAAUCUAUAACUACUUUAUUAUUUUUUAGGGGUGGGCACGAUUUAGUUCGGUUCGGUUCGAAAUUAAGUAGAACCGAUUUAAAUCGGUUAUUUUAUAAAAAAAAAACCGAAUAAAAACCGAACUCAAUAAGAACCGAACUCAAACGGUUCUUUUCGGAUCGGUUCGGUUCGGUUCGGUUUUUUCGGUUCUGGGCCUAUUGGGCUUAUUUUGAAUUUUUAAAUUUUUAGCCCAUUGGGCCUCACGAAUGUAAUAAUUUUUUUCAACAAUUAAUUUAUCCUAAUUUUAUAACAAAUAUUAACAAUAAAUACAAAGUAUUCAAAACACAUUUUAUCACUAAUAUCUUACUAACUAUUAAUAAGAUACUCCCAAAAUAUGAAAUAUUAAAAUUUCAAAAUACAUAACCAAACUCCAAUACUCCAUCUAUAUAAACAUAAUCAUAAUGUUAUAAAGAGAAAUAACACAUGUUUGAUUUGAAUAAAAUUAUUAACACAUAUUUGAUUUGAAUAAAAUUAUUAACACAUGUUUGAUUUGAAUAAAAUAAAAAAAUAAUUCGGUUUUUCGGUUCAGUUUUUCGGUUAAGCUAAGUGAAUUGAAUACCGAACCGACAUUUCGGUUUUUUUUACAAACGGUAUAUUUCGGUUUUUUUAAAAAUAAAAACCGAACCGAAUUAGAAAAAACCGUCGGUUCGGUUCGGUUUUUUUAAGACUACGGUUUUUUUGCCCACCCCUACUAUUUUUUAUCUCCUAUGGCAUGUGAUUGCAUUAAUAAUCACGUGCCAUUCAUUUGUUUAGUUUUUGUUAUCAUAUUUGUUAAGUUUAUUAAAGGUUACAUAAGUAAUCACAUUUCUUCCCUUUGAUAUUAUAAUCUUAUUCAUAUUUUUUGUGUCUUAAUUCUAUUUUUUUUUUGGAUUUAUACUUAAACCGAUUUCGAGUAUUUCUUAGGACAUGUGGCACGAUUUAAGUGGCAGUAUGUUUUAGUACUUACAUUAGUUAUUGAGAUUGAUGUAUAAUAUACAAUCUAUCACGUUUAAAAAUUUGUACAAACCACUAAAAUUGCACUAAAAAUCAGUGUUGGUGCCAAAAAUUUGAUAUAGGAAGGGCUAAGUUUUAGAAAAUCACAAUUUAAUAUAUUUUUUUUUCUUUAAGAAGGAAAGUAUCAAAAUUAUAACAUUAUAUUCAAUCAUGUGGUUUACUAGGUGGUAUGUUAUUAAUGAUACUUAGUCAUAGGUUAAGAUUUUAUAAAUGUCUCAUUAUUUAUCUUAUGAUAUAUAUUAAACCCAAUAAUUUAUUUAAAAUCUUGAAGACUUUUAAUUUUAGCUCUAACGUGAGCUUGCAAACAUAGUUAGUUGGUGAAAUUGGUCAUGGUGAUAAAUUCUUUAACAAUUGAAAGAGACAUAAGAGAAAGGAACCAUGCCUUAUUUUGAUUAGGAAAUUGACAGAUAAGAGGAAGAUAUAGAGAAAUUAUUAUGGCAUAUAAAUAAUACUUUUAUUUUAAAGAGAAGAAAAGAGUAAAAUAGGAACUAAGAAGAGAUAGCCUUUGCAUUUUAAAAAUUUGAUAAACUUUGGAAGACUUUUAAGGCGAUUAAUAAUAAAUGAAUUAUUGAAAAGAAAGGGUGGUGAUAUUUCUACCGUGAAGUUGCAUAAAUCCACCCAACUUUUAAGAACUAAUUAUAACAAAUUCACAAUAAUCUUAGUAAUUUCAAAUUAAGAAUAAAUUUGAAUAAUUAACCAAUUAAAUCAUCAUCAAUAUGAUUAUUAAGCUUAACUAAACUAACAAAAAACUAACUAAAUGUAUUUGUGACAUGAUAUCUCAUGAAAUUUAUAUGUUGUUAUGAGAUUGAUUGACAGUGAGAAUGAUCUAAUUAAUUAACUGUUUAAACUUUUUUAUUUAAAAUUUUAAAAAAUAUUGUGAAUUUCUUAUGGAUGAAUCUUUAAAAUAAAGUGAUUUUACACAAAUUAUCAGACGGAAAUAUUCUUCACUUGAACAAAAAUAUUUUUAAUCAUUUUUCUCUUUAAUCAACCCUUUCGCAGCACCAUAUGACGCCGCCCAUAUUAACAGUCAUAUAGAAAAUAGUCCAUUGAAAGAUACGCUUUACACACAACAUACAUCUCAGCUCUUUCAAAACAUCUCUCAUCACCGGAUUUGGCGAUUUCAACAAAUCUUUGGCAGUUGAGUAAAUAGCUCGACGAACCACUCAAAAUUUUACCACGAUAGUGAACAUGUAAUAACCGGUUCACAUAACCGUACGCGCGUCGAAGUUUACUAAAGAUAUUUUAGAUCCUUCAAAUCAUUGUCCUCUUAUCAGAUUCGACACCUUUUUUUACCCCCCAUUUUUUGGACAGGAUUCGACACUUUCAAGUCAACCAACAAUAAAGUAAAGUUUUCUGCGGAGUCUAAUUCACUGUUUGUAAUUUUUCAAAUCUGAACCUUGUGUGUUGUUGGUGUCUUAGACGUUACAUUAUUGCUGGCUUGCUGCUGAUGGUACCCGCGGUCCCCUCCCCUAGUUUUGUUAUUGGGCCCUAUAUGAUUAUUAAUUCAGACACAGACGGCCGAUUCAAUUUCUGACCAAAACUAGCAUUUUCUUCAUCUCUCCAUUAUUUUGUUGUUGUUACCUUAAAAAACGUAAUCUAUGAUAUGAAUAGAAAUGGUCACAAGCUCAAUAACAAUAAUCUCUCAGUCCACGAAUUUUUUAACUGGAAAACGAGUACGACAGCAAUUUUGAAAUUUUUACUCGAAUAUAAAACGACAUGGGGCAAAGGCACGGGCUUCGUUUGCGGAUAUGGAUUGACAACGAUGAUUAUUAUGCCACAUAUCUUACACGACAACAACGUUUCUACAAACACAAAUCCCAAUAUCAACCACUAAUCCCAAAUCUGUUACAGCGAGAGAGGGAAAUAUAAGAAAGACAAAAAGUUUUGCUUCGUUUGAAAGUUAUUUUUGUUCUUGGUCGUGCCCGUGCCCGUGCCCGUGCCCGUGCCCGUGCUUGUGCCCACCUAUAUAACUCAUAACUGUGUGUAUGUUACCUGCCGCCAGUGUCUAUUUAUAACUACUAUUCACAUUCACGUCAUUUUCUUUUUUAUCUGUUCUUCACCGAGUCGCACUUUCUUCUUUUCUUUUCGUUCAUGGCCACUCUUUAAUGGCAAAAUCUUAAAGUUAUUAUAUUGCAAUAGAAAGAAAAGAAAAGAAAAGAAAAGAAAAGGAAACCCAAAAAAAAAAAAAAGGAAAAGAACUGGCGACUGGUCAUAUGUUGACCAGCCGAUGGGACAAGACAAGCCCACUGUUUCGGUUUGGUUUUUGUCUUUUGGAGCUCUUCGAACCAGCAGUCUAGACCAAGCCUCAGGUUUGUUGGGUUCUUUUUACGUUAUUUUUUUAAUCUCUCUCGUAAGUUUCAUGACAGUAGCUGUUGAUAUUACUGGUGCUAUCCUUUUUUGUUUUCCUUUCUUUUUGCAGGUUAGCAGAUGCAAAGUAUGUACCGCGUUUAAUAACUUUUUUGGCAUAUAAUGGAGAAGAUAUCGCCUAAAAAUCCUGUGGUGUAUGAGAGAUACAAAUCUAGCUGUGCAUGGAGUUUAAUUCGGUUCUGUGACUUUGGCCAAGGUGACUCUAAUAACAGGAAGCUGAUUUCUCAUGGGAAAGGACUCAACUCACAAGUUUUAAGUAAGUAUUUUAUAAUCAAAGAUCGGUUUCUGCUGUUUCAUAAAUUGCUAUAUAAGAAUGGAAGCCAUUUUUAUUGAUCUAUUUGUCAAGUCUGAACUGUUUUUAGAUCCUACAGCUACGAUGUUCAACUUGGUUCUGUUUUUUCAUAUGCAGGUGGAUUGGAUUCAAGGAAUAGGCUUGAUUUGCUUUCCAACUCCAAUGUAAAAUGCCAGUGUAUUGAUGUAAGUAUCGGCAACCUACCUAUUUUUGGGUUACCAACUUAACUUAUUCCUGUUAUUGAUCCGUUCCCCCUGAUUUCUGUAAAAAAAUUUUUCCCUAAAUGUAAGUUUUACGGAGAAGCGCCAUAUAUGCCAAUUAGCAUCUCAAUUUGUUUCAGGGUGUAGUAAACAACAAGUCUCAGAUGAUUGAUUCUGCUAAGGCAGAUGUAAUGAGAAUGAGAAAAGGAGAAGGAGAGAUGGCCACUGAGUUGCAGGUCAACAAGAAGAUCACUAAUACUGAAGGGCAACAUACACCAUCUAAUAAUACACAGCCCGUUGGUCGCUUGCCGACUAACCAUAAAAGAAAGACAAGCAAGACUUUUCAGAUGCAUGGUUGUAAGGACAUAGCAACCAUGGGGCAGAGACAGCCUUAUAAUGAAAGUUCAGCAGACAGAUCUUCAAUAAAGUGUACCAAAGCGAUACCGACAGAAGCAUCCGGCACUAAGGCACAUCCUAGGAGGGAUUGUGACUGUAGAAGUGUCAGCCACCCAAAGAAUAACCGGGUUAGUGAAAUAAAUUUGCAAGUUAAGAUGAAUGAGGCAGCGGAAGCAUUCGUAAAUCAGAAGUUCACUAAAGGAAAAUUCCUCGGCAAAAACAAGGCCAGCCACCAGUCUAAACAUUUCUUGGAUGCAUUAGAGAUAUUAAAUUCCAACAAGGAAUUAUUCAUAAAUCUGCUACAAGAUCCCAAUUCUUUGUUAGUCAAACAUAUCCAAGAUUUGCGUCAUUCUCAGGGAAACAAACAGGAGAUCAACUGUAGCUUCCCAGAAGCUAAAUUGUCAGAAAAUUGUGGAACGACAGUCAGAAGUAAAGAGCAUGUCUGCAAUCAAGUAUCUUGUGACAGAUACCCAACUAAAGGAAGUUUUGAUCCACAAACUUCAGAAAGAAUUGUGGUUCUGAAGUGUGGAUCAAUAGCCAUGCAAAAUGGUGCAGCUGACACCAGUGAUUGCUCCUCUCCAGAGUCUCUUUAUAGAUUGAGGAAUGAAAUGCAGAGUGCUAAACCUGCAUAUUUUUCCUUAGGACAUAUGAAGAGGAAGUUGAGACAUGCUAUUGGGUUUAGCAGAAAAGAGAAGAAGCCCUCGACAUCAACUGAUUGUACAAGACAUGAAUCUCCUAUUGACAUUGAGGACUCGGGAGAUGGUGGUGGAGGAAAUUGUCCGGAGACUGCACAAAGCAACUCAUUGAGCAAGUGCAAUCUUGGGACUGGUCAAAUGGCAAAGUCUUUGUGUGUCAGGAAGGGAGCCAAAAUGGGCAAACUGAAGGAUUCUGCGUCAGGUACUAAAGAGCCAGUUGCUGCGAAUGGUGGAAGUGACCUUGGAAACUCAACAUCGUCCAUUGUCGGGUAUCUUAAACAAAUUGAAUCUAAUAUAUACCUUGAAUCUACGAACCAUCUCUCUGAGGUUUUAAGGAAGAGAAAUGAAGAUUUUUCAAGAAAACAGGUACUGACGAACUCCAGAAGGAUUGGUUCUCUGCCUGAAUAUGACUUCUUGGGAAGGUACCAGGACCAUGGCUUUAAUGCUGCACAGAUGAGAUUUUCUUCUUAUAGCUAUUACCAAAUGGUCAAUGAAAAGAAACAACAUCAGAAAGAGAAGAAAAAUGGGUACUUAAGUCCGGUGAGGCAGAUCAUAGAGGCUCCAUCCUUAGCAGAUUAUAAGAGAUUUACUGAUCAAUUGCAAAUCUUUGAUAGGAAGCCAAAUGACUCCGGCAAUCAUUUUCCUGAUAUCAAAAGGUACAAAAGGUUUAGUUCCCUAAGCGAUCCUUCAAGCUCUAGAGGUAAUUUUUUGUUGCUUUUCCAAUUCUCGUGGUUCUCAAACACUUUAUCUUGUCUAAGCAGCUCAGUUAAUAUUCAGGUUCUGUGUAUAAUUCUGUGAAACGUGGAGAAAUUAGUUCUUUGGGAGUUCCCUUACAAUCAAAUGAAUCACAUAAUAAUGGUGCAACUCAAGGUUCUGGUCCCACCUACACGUAUGAGGACAAUGAACUUUUGGAGUGCUCAAAAUUGGUAAACUUUGAUUCCCAGCUCUGUCAAAUUAAUUAGUAGUGCUUCUGUCCAUAUUCUUUUCUAUUACAUUUUAUUCUACUGCAACUCUGUGACAUACUUCAGUGCAUUGUUUUUUGCCACCGAUUUUGGCCUUCUUCAGGAUUUCCCUAUGGAAAGCUUAACAUCUCCAUCUUCAGAAGAUGCUUAUUUUUCAAGCCCUUUGAGCAUGAAGAAACUGGAAGAGUCUAAUGGCAUGAAAGAUAAAGCAGAGCAUGCAAGUCCAGUAUCUGUUCUGGAUCAGUUCUUCGUUGAAGAUAUCCCUAGCCCUCUAAGCACCAUAUCUCGAUCUGGUAGGCUUUCAAGUCAGCAAUCACGAGUUAUUUGUUUUUGUUCUUCCAAAAUGUUGCUGACUUUACCAACUUGAACUUCUGCAGCAGAGCCAGUAGUCGAGCCAAAACAAGAUUAUUGUGAAGAAAACUCUUGCACUGCUCCUGUGACAUCUCCUGCAGAUCUGAAGAUCAAUUCAAGCAAUACCAUGAAUGAGCAUGAAUCCUUGUCCCAAUAUGUAACAGCAGUGUUGCAAGCUUCCGGUACAAAAUGGGAAGAACUUUCAAUGAAAUGUCAUUCGUCAGACCAACUUCUUGAACCAUCCUUAAUUGAUGAGGUGGAGUUAUUGCCUAACCUCCUCACUGUUGAUAAGAAGCUCCUCUUUGAUUAUAUCAAUGAAGUCCUUCUAGAGGUAUAUCAAAGUCACUUCAGUUGCUGCCCCCGGCUAUCAUUUCUUAUACCACAGAUCCGACCAGUUCAAGCUGGAACAAAUGUGGUUAACGAGGUGAUGAAAUGUGUCGACUUAGACAUCCUGUUCCAUCGACAGUUUCAAACUUUGGAGGAACUUGUUGAAAAGGACUUGGGAAAAUCCAGAACAACAUGGAUGGACAUUCGAAUUGAUACUGAAGUUGCUGUUACUGAAUUGGUUGAAAGUGUUUUAGAAGAACUGGAAUUGGAAAUUUCAAUCGAUCUGCAUACUUGAAGCCUUGAAUUUUGCUUUGCAUGCUUUCUCAUCAAACAAUGUUUGUUAUGGGAUGCAAACUUGCAACUGGAUGAAUCAAGAAAGAUUAUAGAAUUCUUUUUGAUGAGCUGAUCGGGGACUCAUUGAAUCAAAAUUCAUGGCCAUCAAGUUUCUUGUUUACUACUGUUACUGUAUAGUUUACAAUAAAUGUCGAGAAAUCACAGGUAUUAUUUGUUGUUUUCAAAAUUCCCCCGAUGGAUGUUGUAUGAAAUUUUCAACACAAAAUAAGUUUUAUACAAGAAACAUAGCAUUCUCCGGAUCCCUGAGUAAUACUGACUUAGGAAGAAUAACAUAAACGAUCCAUUUCAGGGAAGUUCACUAGCGUAGGGACGUAUUUAAUACAUAUUGAAAAAUUAUAUCUUAAGUAAAAAAAAAUGUUAACAACAUGGGAUCUAUAUGUUAUAUUUUUGUAUUUUUUUUUUCAAUUUUAAAAGGAUUAAUCGUUAAAGAGUGGGAUAUUUUCACCCCUAAGUUUUUUUUUGUGACGUGUAGUAUUUUUUGAGUCACAAUUUUACCUUUAAGAAUUAACAACAGCGUCGAAAUCUAAGAAUAAAAAGAAAAAAAAAUAUUUUGGGUUUCUAAUUAAUCACCAUUAAUCUAUUACAACAUUCCCUAUGAAUUUAUAAACCCAAAAAAUUUAAACAUUAACUUUAAGAAUUACUAAAUCCUACAUAUUAAUUAAAAAUAAUGGUAACCCGUCACACAAAAACAUUUUUUUUAUUCUAUAAACAAGAUUAAUUCUACCAGUUUUCAUAAUAAUAGUUAAAUGAACAUUUUUAAUAACAAAAUUUGCGAAGAAUAUCUCUGCAAUAAGAUGAGAUAAAGGGUCAGUUUGGUGUUGCAGAAGCUAAUGAAAUAAGUUGCUUGUGCUAUGUAGAUGAAAUAAACUGCUUGUGCUGUGCAGAUGAAAUAAGCUGCUGAUUAAAAAAGUAGCUUAGUAUUUGGUAAACUGUACUGUUGCGGUUGGUGUGAGUUUGAAAAGUAAAAUACAUGUGUUUGGUAAAUCUUAUUAUGAAAGUGUUGUUGUAUAAUAUAAUGACCAAAAUAGACAUACGUUAUAAUUGCUUUUUAUUUGAUGUUUAAUAAAUUGUUUAGACAUUUUUUUAAAUAUGUAAAAUUACAUUAAUAAAACUCAAUUAAGAAAAAUUUAAAGAACUUCAUAAUCUGUUACAUAACAUAUGAUAAAAAAUUAUACUUUUACAUAAUUUAAAUAAAAUAAAAAGUAACAUGUAUUAUAUUCACAAUAAUUUUUUUGCAAUAAAAUUCCUCAAAUUUUCCAUUUCUUAGGAUUCAGAGCCAUUAAUAUUGUGAUACUAAAUUGUGGCGGUAAUAUCUAAUGAUUUAUAUAUUAGGGUUUAUGGAUAAAUAAGAUAUAAUUGUCUUUUUAUUAAAGUACUAGGGUUAUAAUAAGCAUUUUAAAAAGUUAUACUAGCUUAUUGAAUAAGUUGCUUAUGAAAAACAACACCGUACUUGCUUUUAAAAACUGCUUACGAAAUGUAAAAAAUUAUGAAAUGAGCUACUUUUACAAAAUUUACCAAAUAUUAUUUUUAUCAAAAAUUAUGAAAUAAGCAGCUUAUUGAGUUUUAACUUCAAUCUCAAAUGGGGCCAAAUGAUAGUUUAGUUGUUUAUAUAAGAAGUAAUACAUUUAAUAAUAUUAAUAAUGAGUCUAUUGCAUAAUAUUUUUAAAAUAUGAAAAUACAUCGAGUACAUUUAUAAAUGUAUUAGUAAAUAUUUUUAUAUAUUCAAAAUUUUAGUUUCUAAAUUUUGCUAUUAUCUAAUUUAAUCCCUAAUAAAUUAUUUUUUUAAAUCCGCCACUACUUAAGAACGCAGUAAUUAAUUUGCACUUAAUAUAUUGAUCUUCAACAAAAAAUAUUUGUUGAUAUUUAUUUUUGAAUGACGGGUUUUUAUACUAAUUAUUUGUAAGAAAAAGAAUAUAUGUGAAUGAAUUUAUGUGUAUUUAUAAAAUUAAGAAAAGAAAGAAAAGAAAAGGUUAAUUAAUGAUUUGUUAAAAUUAAAUAAAUAAUAAAAAUUUUAAUUAAAAAAAAAGAAUGUAGAGAAAAAAUUUAUGAGAUAUUUUUAAUAGGGUGCACGUAUUUGAUGGGGGUUGCCAUACAACAGAUGGGUUGAAAAUAAAAUGGUAUUUUAAAAUCUGAUUACGAGUUAAAAAUCAUAUUUCCAUCCUUUUCAAUAAUAUAAUUUAUCCGCCCCCACUUCCCGCCAAACUUAACAAUAAAAACCCUAAUUUUCUCUCAUUCCUUAAACCCUGCCAAGCCAAGCCAAGCCACCCACCAAAAAUCCCAAAACCCCUAACCCUACCACUAACCAGACCACCUGCACCAGCAACAAAUGGAGAAUAAACCAGAACUCGUCCUUAUCCUCGACUACGGUUCUCAAUACACCCACCUAAUAACCAGACGAAUCCGUUCGCUCUCCAUCUUGUCUCUUUGCCUCUCCGGCACUUGCUCUCUCGAAGACAUUACUGCCAAGAAUCCCCGCGUCGUUAUCCUUUCCGGCGGCCCCCACUCCGUCCACUCCCCCGAUGCCCCUGCUUUUCCCGCUGGCUUCCUCGAGUGGGCCCUGUCUAACAGCGUUUAUGUUUUGGGAAUUUGUUAUGGGCUCCAGUUGAUGGUUCAGAAGCUUGGUGGUGUAGUUAAGGUUGGGGAGAAGCAGGAGUACGGGAGAAUGGAGAUACUGGUGGAAGGUAGUUCGGGGAUUUUUGGGAAUAAGAAGGUGGGUCAUCAUCAGGUCGUUUGGAUGAGUCACGGAGAUGAGGCUGUUGUGUUGCCCGAUGGAUUUGAAGUCGUGGCGAGGAGUCAGCAGGGAGCUGUGGCUGCUGUUGAGAAUAGAGAAAAGAGGCUUUUUGGGCUUCAGUAUCAUCCUGAGGUAGAUGGAAUUCGAAUUUUCUAAAAUUGUUUUUUUUCCUCUUUUUUUGGCGCUGCCCCCCGCGGCGCCGGGGGGNNNNNNNNNNNNNNNNNNNNNNNNNNNNNNNNNNNNNNNNNNNNNNNNNNNNNNNNNNNNNNNNNNNNNNNNNNNNNNNNNNNNNNNNNNNNNNNNNNNNNNNNNNNNNNNNNNNNNNNNNNNNNNNNNNNNNNNNNNNNNNNNNNNNNNNNNNNNNNNNNNNNNNNNNNNNNNNNNNNNNNNNNNNNNNNNNNNNNNNNNNNNNNNNNNNNNNNNNNNNNNNNNNNNNNNNNNNNNNNNNNNNNNNNNNNNNNNNNNNNNNNNNNNNNNNNNNNNNNNNNNNNNNNNNNNNNNNNNNNNNNNNNNNNNNNNNNNNNNNNNNNNNNNNNNNNNNNNNNNNNNNNNNNNNNNNNNNNNNNNNNNNNNNNNNNNNNNNNNNNNNNNNNNNNNNNNNNNNNNNNNNNNNNNNNNNNNNNNNNNNNNNNNNNNNNNNNNNNNNNNNNNNNNNNNNNNNNNNNNNNNNNNNNNNNNNNNNNNNNNNNNNNNNNNNNNNNNNNNNNNNNNNNNNNNNNNNNNNNNNNNNNNGGGGGGGGGGGGGGGGGGGGGAGGGUUUAUAUAUGAGUUGCGUUGGAGCUAUUUGUCUUGAUGUAAGGAUGUGUGGAUGUGUUGUAGGAUCUAUGGAGGUUUUGAUGCUUAUUGUCCUAGAAUUUUACAUAGACCUAUUUGAAAUGGUUUGAUAUAUCAGUUGUUGACUGGAUGCUACUAGGGGUGGAGCCCUGUUCAGACUAGAGGGUGCCACGGCACAAUCAACAAAUUCCUAAAUAAAAUAUUUUUAUGAUAAUAUCAUUAUUUUUAAGUGUAAAAUCUUCAUUUGGCCCCUGCAGGGACUCACAUUCUCUCACAAUUUUUAAACUUUAGAGAAAAAUGUAAGUUAUAUGAUCCCACAAACAUUAAUUCUGAUAAAAACUUGUACCUUUACUAUUAUUAAUUUAUUGUUAACAAAUUCUUUUAUCUUUCUUUUGCUAGAAAUGGGUGAGCCUACUUUUUUGUUGAUGUUUUAUGGACUUUGUGUUAUUUAAAUUUGUAUUACCUUUUUUUAAUAGGAAAAGAACUUUUAUACUAUGAAAAUAAAACUUUUGCAUAUUACUGCCUAUUCAAUUGAAAAAACCGUAUUAUUAGUUUUGAAAUGUUUUAAUUCGGUCUGAACUCUGAGCUCCACCCCUGGAUGUUGUGGUUUUGCCGUCGUUAGUGAUUUAGUGUGGAACUAUUGGAAGUUUAUGAUGGUAUGCGAACUUCCAAUUUUAUUUGCUGAUUAUUGAAUGUUCUGCAGGUGACACACUCACCUGAAGGGAUGGAAACUCUUCGGUAUUUUCUAUUUGAUGUUUGUGGAGUUAAUGCAGGCUGGAAAUUGGAAAAUGUAUUGGAUGAAGAAGUUAAAUGCAUCAAGGAUACUGUGGGGCUUGAAGAUCAUGUCAUCUGUGCAUUAUCAGGGGGUGUAGAUUCGACUGUUGCUGCAACUCUUGUUCAUAAGGCAAUUGGGGAUCGGCUUCACUGUGUUUUUGUUGACAAUGGUUUAUUAAGGUAAGAGAAUGUGAAUGUUUUUCUGAAACAACUAAGAUUAGAUUUCAUGGAAAGACUUUAUAUUGGUUCUACACUUUCAUUUAUCUUUUGGUUUCUCUCUGUAAAUUUUCAAUCAUAAUUUUGUUUUACAUAGGUACAAAGAGAGGGAACGUGUUAUGGAUACCUUUGAAAAGGAUCUACAUUUACCAGUUACUUGUGUUGAUGCAACUGAUCAGUUCCUUAGUAAGCUGAAAGGUGUGAUAGAUCCUGAAACGAAGAGGAAAAUAAUUGGAAAGGAAUUCAUCUGCAUCUUUGAUGCUUUUGCCCAUGAUUUGGAGCAGAAAUUAGGAAAGAAGCCUGCUUACUUGGUCCAAGGAACCUUGUAUCCAGAUGUGAUUGAAUCAUGCCCACCACCUGGAACGGGAAGAACCCACUCCCACACGAUCAAAAGCCAUCAUAAUGUUGGGGGGCUUCCUAAAGACAUGAAGUUGAAGCUCAUUGAACCUCUUAAACUUCUAUUUAAGGACGAGGUUUGGUUUUCAAUUUUACCGUAUCAUGCGUUCAUACUAAUAAAGAUGAUUUCCAUUCUUGUUUAUAUUUGAUUCUAUUUUGGCCAUUUUCUUUCUCUAUUUAUGAAGGUCCGUCAACUUGGCCGGAUAUUGAAUGUUCCCGAGCAAUUUCUAAAGCGUCAUCCAUUCCCUGGCCCUGGCCUUGCAGUGCGAGUCCUUGGUGAUGUAACUGAAGGCAAUUCCUUGGAUAUCCUUCGACAGGUAUGUGUAGUUUAUGCUUUGAGCGAUAACCCUAUGUCGUUGUUUACCCUUUUAAACCUCAGUUUUUUGACCUCUUCUUUUCAGGUUGAUGAAAUUUUUAUUCAAUCUAUCAAGGAGGCAGGUCUUUAUGAUUUGAUUUGGCAAGCUUUUGCAGUGUUUUUGCCUGUAAGAUCAGUUGGAGUUCAAGGCGAUCAAAGAACUCAUUCUCAUGUUGUUGCUCUCAGAGCUGUUACAAGCCAAGAUGGAAUGACAGCAGAUUGGUAAGCCCCCAAUUUUUUCACUUUUGAUGGUUUCUGUAGAGUUGUGUAUAUGCAUAAGCUAGCAAACGACCAUAUGAGCAUUUGAUGGCAUGUAAACUAAGGUCUAUAUUCAUGUUCCAUCGGAAGUUUAUUUCGAUGAACCUUGCCUCUCGAAUCCCUUGUCUUUACUGCUAAUUGUUUUUUUAUUCUUUUUUUCAAAAGGCUGCUAAUUUAACAGUUCAUAAUUUUGCAAAUUUAUUGUCAUGUUUGUUUUCUAGAGCCGCUAAUUAUUUCUAUGGAGUGUUGGAAAUUACUAUUUCGCUGUAUUCUCUGUGAAAUAGUGUAGGCUUUUUGGCUUUGAUUUUUGGGGUAGAAUAAAAUUUCUUGCAUGCAACUUGCUUAUAUUUUCUCUUUGGAUCUGUGGAAAUUACAGGUACUAUUUUGAACACAAAUUCCUUGAUGAUGUAGCCAGAAAAAUCUGUAAUACCGUUCGAGGUGUAAACCGAGUUGUUCAAGACAUCACAUCAAAGCCUCCAUCUACAAUUGAGUGGGAAUGAUGCUCUGUUGAAUGCCUUGUGGCUUAUGAAAAGUACAAGACUCUCUAGACGUUUAGAGUUAAGCUUAUGCAUCAAUUAUUACCUUUCCUCUGCUUCUAAUCAAGCGGGGUCAUGAGAUGAAAGUUGAAUUACACAAAAGCUCAUAGUGUUUUAUGUCUGUGCCCUUAUCCAUAUUACAUAAUUCUCAUAAGGUAAUAUAUUUUGGAGGGUCGAUGGCUUAACAUUUGUGCGGAGACUUCGUACUGACUUGUUACUACACUAUAUUUUUUACCAUAUUGGUUCUUAUGAGCUUUUAUGCUUUUGCUAUAUUUAUCAGAAAUUAUAUGUUUCUGUUUUUCUCAAGCUAUAUGAGAAGUGUGUAUUUGUUGCUGAUGUGAAGGUGUGACUUGAGCAUAAAAAAUUUGUUAGCAAGAACUGUGAAAUGCUGAAUUCAUGCUUUAGAAACCUAUUUCCUAUCUUUGCUUGUAUAUACAUUUUCACAAUUAAGCUUCAAUGUUAUUAUGUUAUUACCAUUGUCAGUCCAUUUUAUUUGUUUGAUGGUGGCACUUGCUGCUCAUAGUCUGUGGUCUCCACCAUAAUUGUGAUUAUGGUGUAAAAUAAUUAUCACUUAUCUUUAAAAAGCAUUGAUUGAGAUGGCCACAAUGAUCUGUCUCACCACCUCUUUAUACCUGCCCAAUCAUAGUUAUAAUGGUGGGAUUCAGAUUAUCAUCGUCUAUAGAAAACCCUCAAUUAGUGUUCUUCAUUUCUGAUUAUGGUAAAAUGUAUCAGAAUUUUUUUUCAACAGUUGGAAUAUAAGUCUAUCUUAUAAAUUCUGACAGUUGACCCCUUUCUACAUGGAACAUGCUUUUUAUGUCAACAUUUGAAUCCAGCUGAGCAAACCAUUGUAUUUUUCAGUAUAGUAAUGCCAGAACUGCAGAUUUCCGUUCGGCUACCUGUGUUGGAUUUAUCCCAACCGGUGUCUCCCUCCUUUCUAUCUUCCCUUUCUGAAGCCUGUCGAGAAUCGGGCUUUUUUUAUGUAACUAACCAUGGUAUCUCCCAGGAUAUGUUUAAGAAAGUCUGUUCAUUCUCCAAACGUAUAUUUAGCAGUUCCACAGAUACCAAGCUCAAGCUUGGACCAUCAUCAUGCAUCAAAACCUACACUCCUCAUUUUAUAGCUUCCCCUUAUUUUGAAAGCCUGCGGGUUUCUGGUCCAGAUUACUUUGCUGCCGCAAAGGCUUCUGCAUGUGUGCUUUUUGGCCAGCAGAGUUCUGACUUCAGGUAACAUUUUCUUUAACAUCCCACUGUCUUGGCACUACAGUUUUGUUAAUCAUUUAUCUGCAUUAUGUUAAUGUUAUCUUGCUUUUCAAUUUUGUAGUGAGUUAUUGCAAGAGUAUGGGAUCAAGAUGGUGGAGUUAUCUCAGAGAAUCUCGAAGAUUAUAUUAAUGAGUUUGGGAGAUGAUUAUGAAAGGAAAUUUUAUGAAUCUGAAUUUGGUAAGUGUCAUGGGUAUUUGAGGAUCAUAAAUUAUACACCACCAGAGACUGUCAAAGAAGAUAAAGAGGUUGAAGGGCUUGGAAUGCACACUGAUAUGAGUUGUCUAACGCUAGUCUAUCAGGAUGAGAUUGGUGGACUCCAGAUGAGAUCCAAGGAGGGGGAGUGGAUUGACAUAUUCCCAUGUGAGAAUUCACUAGUAGUUAAUGUUGGAGAUCUUAUGCAAGCUUGGAGCAAUGGGAGGUUAAGGUCAUCUGAGCAUCGGGUUGUUUUGAAACGGUUCAUAAACCGUCUCUCACUGGCUUUCUUUUGGGGUUUUGAGGAUGAGAAGGUGAUUCGAGCACCGGAUGAAGUUGUGGGAGAAGGAUGCUCAAGGAUUUACAAGCCCUUCGUUUGCUUGGACUAUUUGAAGUUUAGAGAAAAUAAUGAGGAAGGUAAAUUCGAGAGAAUUGCGCAUACUGUCAACGAUUUUGCAGGGAUAAAACAGAAGGGAGGUAUGGCAUCAGUUCUGGAGUUUUAGCUGGGUAAAAAUGUACAAUAUCCGGUUAAUUAAAUUUUAUCCAAAUGUGAAUGUGUAUUUUCUGUAUCGCCUGAUCGGCUAUCUGAUGGUGACAAAUCUUCUCUAAAGUCGUACUCUGUUGUUGGUGUAAGUGUGAGUUUGUUGUUAUUAUUGAAUCCAAUGACAUUUUUGUUUUCUUGCCUUUACUUAAUUGCUUUUGAGAAAUGGGGCUUUGAAGACCCGACAGACAAUUCCAAAAGUUACAUUUUAAUUUAACUCAAAUGAGUAACAACAGCAUGAUCUGUAAACUUAACAGUUAACAAGACCCAAAUAGAUAAUGUCUUAUUCCAUUUCGGCGGCCAAUUCAGUAGCAUCUGCAGUAUCAGGAUUGAAGCAAAUUCUUCAUCAGUGCUUAUUACGAUCUAAAGGGGCUCGUGGUUUUCUCUUCGGUCAUCUUUUUCUGUGGUCAAUAUAGUUAUUUGAAUCUAGCGGACGUAUAAAUAACCCAUUGGAAGAAUCCUUUUACUGUUUUUUGCAUCUAAUACUAAAUGAUUGUUUAAUUUUUAUUAUUAUUUUGGUUUAAUUAACUAUUUAAUCUUUACAUUUUGAAAAAUAUCUCAAAACUCCCUCGUUUUAAAUAUGUUAUUACUCUCUGGUCCUUUCUUUUUAUUCACUUUUAUAAUAAUACAAUUGCUACUAUAUUUUUUUACACUAAUUAAUCUGCUUGUUGAAAAAAUUAUUUAUUUAUUAUGAAUUAAUCAAUAAAUAUCAAUAUAAAGAAUUAGUAUUUUUCACGUCUUUACAAUAAUCUUGCUAAUUAUUACUUAUAAAUAAAUUAAUAUUGGUGAACUUUAAACAAUGUUUAAUACCCUUACAACAAUCUUACUAAUUAAUUAUUUACAAAUAAAUUAGUUCACAAAGUUAAUUCUUAAAAAAUAAAAAAAUAUUACACUAAUUUUAUUUUACUUUUAAGAUAGAUUUAAUAAAUUAACAUUUUUUUCUUUUUAUUAAUAUUCCAAGAGUAUUAUUGUAAGGACAUUAUUAUAAAAGUAAAAAAAAAAAAGAGUAUAAUAUAAUUAAUCAUAAUAAGACUUAUUGACUUUAAUAUUAAAGAAGCUGGUGGGUUUUAGAACAAUAGGACUGUUCCAUCGCAAUACAAAAUUUUCUCUCCUACUGGUUCACAACAAAUAUUAUUUCCGCCAUUAUUUACGACGAGAUUACGAAAGGCCGCUGCAAAUUCUAGAGCCAUCUUUCAAAUGACAAGCUCAGAUAGAACCCAUUGUCAUAAAAGAAUCGGAUAAAAAGUUUGCAUGAUAAGACAUAAUAAAAGCAUUCAAAGUUUUCCAGGAUCAAAACUCUUCCUGGGUUUCACUAUUAAUUGCUGGCCAAUGAUUAUUAACUUUUGAGGACACCUUUUGCUUGUUGCUGUCACUUUUCAACGAAGACAUGUUGAUUGCCCAUUGCCACUGGGAAAAAAAUCACUUUCUUGAUAUGGAUUGGUAGGUUCAUUAUUAAGAAACCCAUUAAUUGCAAAUCUUCAUACAGAUUCGUUUAUGAAGGAUUAAUUCAAAGGGUCCCUCGGUGUGUUUCGCAUGAUUACUCAAAGUUGAUUGCGAUCCCAUCAAGGGUUUGGCGUAAGAUAGGUGCUUUUCAUUCGAAGAAAGUUACAUUAUCAUUUAUCAGAAUAAGUUUAUUUCCCCGAACUAUAUUACUCUCUCGCACUCUUUUGAAUUUGAUUUUGCAAAAUGCUCUCAACUACGCUACACUUUCUUUCUUGGGACAAAAUAUAUAGGGGAUCAAACAAUUUCUGUGUAUAAACCAAGAUUCAACACUUCCAAGCAACUCUUUGUAGUGAUUGUUUGAUUAUCCCAGCUGAUGCGGCAUUUGAUCCUCUGUACUGAAUAAAAUAAAACAUGCAUGGUUAAGAAUAAUUAUGUUAGUUAUAAAGGAAAAAGAUAUUCUCAAUAUUUGCUUGCAAUUUCACGUACGUACCUCACUUUUGAUAGUAAGAGAUAGAAUGCCUCGAUUGGUGGAUGAUUGAACCGUGUGGGAAUAUAAAUGAAGGUUGCUUAUUGCAUCCAUAAUCUCGAGCAACAUUCCUUCCCUCCAUGGGCACUUGAUCUCAAUUUGAACAUCCUUUUCAUUUAUGCUCACAUUUAUAUUAUCUGCUGUCGCAAAACGUUCAAACUCUGGCUCCGACUCAUAGAUGUCACGAGAUUUUCUCUUCUUUGCUCUACUAGUUUUGCUGUUGUCAUAAUUAGCCUCUAACUUUGCUCUGCAAGACUCCAAUUCUUUGACUUUUCUCUCAAGCUCUUGUACGUAUUCUAUUGUGUCAUCUAGUAUAGAUACUUUGUCAAACUGCAAACGAGUUAAAAAUUUUAACCAAGUGAUGAAUGUUUAGUGAUCAAUAAUUGUAAGGAAUUGAGUUUUAAUUAGCUACCUUGCUGACUGAAGGUACCAUGGAUUUGAGAAUAACAAAUCUUUCAUUUAGCUUUCCCCUUUGCCUCCUCUCCGAUUUUACAUGGUUAGUAGCAGUUUCCUCAGCCUCUAGUCUCGAAACAUCAUCUUUAAUGUGAUUAUCUUCCGACGACUCAAGCAAUCUGUAAUUAAUUAUCCGAGGAACUUCAAAUAAGAUCUUCUUCAAUAACUUUUGUGAAACUCCGUCUCUUUGUUUCUUGCAACUCACCAAUCCACCUUUCUUCCAACUAGCAAAGCUGGAUUCUUGGCUGUGGUUUUGAAAAUGUGGCCGCGAAACUAGCUGAUGGGAGGUUUUUAGAAGAGAUGAAAGAACACUUUGAUAGUGCAAAUCAUGGCCUUGGGGAUCCAGUGAGGUAAGCUCUGUGGGGUUACAUUCUUCAACUUCUUGCAGACAAUGGCCAAUUUUUUUAUCGUCUUUUGAAGCAGAGACACAUUUCGCAGCAUCUACAAGUGUUUGGGAAAUGCUGUCACUAGAAUUCACGGAAUGAACACAGUUACUGAACUCAUCAUCCAUGAAUUGCCAGCUUUGUACUUGAGAAGCCACCCCAUUUAUGCCUUCAACCAUAAAUGAAUCAUCUGCUGGUUGAUUGUGCUUGAUGCCACUAGAACCGUUGUUAUCCGGAGAAGCCAUUUCUAACACUUCAUAUCCCACAACUGGAACCAUUGUAGUGUCAAGAUUCUGUGAACAAAGUGCUGCACAAGCGAGAUCUUUGUCAUCUCUCAUGUUUCCAGCACCGCUACUGGAAUUACCGGAAAUCAUUGGACAUGGAAUCUCCAUGAAUGAAGUCUUAAUGUGCUGAAUAAAACCAGGUUCCUCCAACACCUUAAGAAAACAAGUCAUGAAAUAUCAAUAACUUGAAUUGGCACUGUAACGUGCAAAGCAAAAUCCUGAGAGAUUGUAGUCAAACGGGGAUCUGAUAGAAAAGUUACCAGCUCAGUUACCCCCAACUCAACCACACCAUGCAAAUGUGGAAAGCAUACUACUGUCUGAAAAAAUAAAUAAAUAAAUAAGUAAAGAGGAAUUAUGACUGCUCUUAUUUGCACCAAAACAUUUAUUUUAUAUUAGAUUUACUUGUACCAAAACAUAUAUUUUAUAUUAGAUUUACUUUGUUUCCAUUUCUCAUUUGUGCAAGAUUCUUGACUCUAGAAAUGGAAACUCAAUAAGAUGCUAGUAAAUGCGUCAUUGAAAAAGAUAUAGAGGGAAAGAGAAACUGCACCUGAAUAGAUGCACUCUGAGAGAUGCAGUACCGGUUUAUGAAACAAAGACCAAACACAGAAAAAAAAUAUUUAGAUUCUUCUUCCAAUAUGAAUAUCUUAGCCAAUUGGUAUCAUUUUAGGCUGAAAAUUUAAUUCUCAGCAUCCUACCUUUGCCAGCAGAGAACGACUGAACACUUUGCUGUCUGCAUACUGAGCAUUGCACAACCAUAUAGGCUGAUUAUUUGCAAGUGCCCUUCCUGGCAACCUAAGAGCAACGCAAGCGAAAAUUUAAUACAACAGGGAUUAUUGUGUAUGCAAUUUCGAAGGGUUGAGUACAAAGAUGUGAUGGUCAAAAUUACCCUUCACCGAUGUUGAAGACAAAUGACAUGCAAACCAAGUAAUACCACUCGGUAUCAGUAAGAUCUUCAGGGGACAAUGCCGCUGAUGGUCUUUUGCUGGCAGCUUGCGGAUUACUCUCACCAGCCGAAAGAGAUUCGUAUAAUUCUCUCAAUUGCUCACUCCUUUGCAAACCCAAUUGGUUGGAACUGAGCUCUACUGAUUGAAUUGUUUUCCUUGUCUUAAUAUCUCCAUUGUAGUAGCCAUCACCCCAUUCCAAGACCCUAAAAUAUCAUUCACAAUCGAAAGAAGAGUAAAAAAGAAGUAAAAAAGUAAGAUGAAAACAAAAACAAAAACAAAAAAUCAACUUUUGAGCUUUCUAGUCCAGCAGGCCAACAUGUCCCUAAAUCUGGAACUAGAUUGUCCCCAUUUGUCUACGUCAAUUUUGAAUCUUAAGCAGACCCAAUUGAUAAAAAAGAACAAAAGCCAGAGCUGAAAAUCAUUUUCACAUAUAUUAAAACAAAAUAACUUGAGUGUUUGUUCAUUUUAUAUCCUUGCUCGAAGGAAAAAUGUAUAUAUUUGAGAAGAAACAAAAGGGAAGCAGAACAGGGAUAAGCCAGAACUGAAAGAAGAAGGAACUUUGAGUACCCAGGUUGUGUAUCUGAAAUGGUCCAGAAAAUUGCAUAGCUCCACUGAAUGCUCCUCACAGCAAGAGCGAGCUGUUUCUUCAGGCUCUCUGGCACUCUCUUCUGAUUUUGAAUCUUAGUAGUAUCCAUUUGAUGAAAUGCAAAAAGAGAGCUUAAUCUAAAAAGUAAGGUACUGAAAAACCAAUCACACACUAACAAAUCUUGCUCAAUUCUUGAUUCCUCAUUUUCAACAGACUAAAACAUCUAACCUUUAUGGGCUUUUGGCAAAACUGUUCUGUUUCGAAAAUAAAAAGCAAAAGCAGCCCGGACUCAGACUCAGACUCUACAGAAGUAGCUGCGUGUAAAGCUGGUAUCAUUAAUCUUUAUCAGACAGAUGUACAGGACGUGAGUUAAAAGGUCCAUUACUGUAAUGGAAUGGACCAGUAGCAAUUAAUUCCUUGUUGUAAUUUAUACAUUCUCAGGUCACUCACUUUGAUGAACGAAAAAUAAUAAUAAUAAUGGUAAUAGUAUCUUAGCAUCAAUCUAAAAAAAUGGCACUAAAUAACCCAAUAAAAGAGUAGGAAGCAAAGCACGCACACAAGAAGAUAACUUAUUGGUUCUUUUUAGUUGAAGAGGGUAAUAAAGAUCUGAACUUUACUGACCCAGCAAACAGAAACACUUGGUCCUACAAGCUGAUCACACAAACACCGCCACUAUCUCCAGUCUAAAGACUAAAGUAGUUGCAAUAAUUUUUCACUCACAGAACCAAACCGCCAAAACCAUUAGCUCAAUCAACAAAAAAAGGAAAAAUGAAAGACAAGUACAAUUGAAAACAAUGAAGUUUGUUUCAAGUGAAAUAUGAUUUCAUGUAUAUGCUCUGCAAGUGCUUUGCUUCGAUUUGUGUUCAUGGCUUUUGGAGAUAUCAAGAUACAUAAAGCAUGCAUGUAUAUGAAUUGAAGAGUUGCGUGAGAAAGGAUAAUAGCCUAAUAGGAAAUGAAAGAUAAGACAAAGAAAGAAGAUAGAAACGUGGAACUGGUGCAAAAAUUACAAUAAACAGUGGGUCACAUGAACAUUUAAGCAGUUUCAAAUCGAAGGAGGGAUUAGGUGAGAAAUAAUAACGAACAAAAAAACCAAGUCAUUUAUUACAAUGAAUACUGCUUCUUCAAGUCUCUCUUGUUUCUGCUUGAGCAUUCUCUAAUUACGCUGAAAAUAGAAUUCUCCAGUUUAUUAUUCCUGUAAAUUCUGAUUAAAACUUUGAGUUAAAUGGGUUGUUUAUUGAAUACAUUUUUUUAUUUUUACCAUGUUAUAUACUUAAUAUGGUGGUAAAAGUGUCAGUUGAUAUUGAUGAUCAAUGUUAAAAGCAUUUUUUUAAUUUAUUUUAGAAAAAGUGUCAAAAUAUUAGCAAGCCAACAAAAGCAGAGGGACGGACCCUGAAACAAUGCAAUUCCUUUCACAACCCAAAAAUAACUUAAAAAUCCAGACUUGCAUGAUAGAAUUCAGUAAAUUACUGUCGCUAGCUCUUCUAAUUAAGAGAAUUGCUAUUACAUGAAACAUUAAUUCAUUGGAGAAUUUGCAGAAUGCUUAUAUAUAUAUAUAUAUAUAUAUAUGUGUGUGUGUGUGUUUUUAUGCGUGUGAAAAUGGAAAUAAAAAUAAAUGGGAAUGGUGCUGGCAAGAAGCCCAUCGUGUUCCCCCACCCCCACUCUAUUGGAACUAAUUUGGAAACUGAAAUAGACAUAACCAUUGCCAUAAGCCAUAGCCUUUUCAGAAGCUAUUGCUAUACUCCCUAUGAAAUUAAAUGGAGUUUUCCGAAAUCGAGUGUGCCUAUUUUCAUCCAAGACAUCUCGUUUGAAUAAAAUAAGAAUAUGAUUAACACNNNNNNNNNNNNNNNNNNNNNNNNNNNNNNNNNNNNNNNNNNNNNNNNNNNNNNNNNNNNNNNNNNNNNNNNNNNNNNNNNNNNNNNNNNNNNNNNNNNNNNNNNNNNNNNNNNNNNNNNNNNNNNNNNNNNNNNNNNNNNNNNNNNNNNNNNNNNNNNNNNNNNNNNNNNNNNNNNNNNNNNNNNNNNNNNNNNNNNNNNNNNNNNNNNNNNNNNNNNNNNNNNNNNNNNNNNNNNNNNNNNNNNNNNNNNNNNNNNNNNNNNNNNNNNNNNNNNNNNNNNNNNNNNNNNNNNNNNNNNNNNNNNNNNNNNNNNNNNNNNNNNNNNNNNNNNNNNNNNNNNNNNNNNNNNNNNNNNNNNNNNNNNNNNNNNNNNNNNNNNNNNNNNNNNNNNNNNNNNNNNNNNNNNNNNNNNNNNNNNNNNNNNNNNNNNNNNNNNNNNNNNNNNNNNNNNNNNNNNNNNNNNNNNNNNNNNNNNNNNNNNNNNNNNNNNNNNNNNNNNNNNNNNNNNNNNNNNNNNNNNNNNNNNNNNNNNNNNNNNNNNNNNNNNNNNNNNNNNNNNNNNNNNNNNNNNNNNNNNNNNNNNNNNNNNNNNNNNNNNNNNNNNNNNNNNNNNNNNNNNNNNNNNAAAAAAAAAUAUAUAUAUAUAUAUAUAUAUAUAUAUAAAUUUUAAUGUCCUUACCGAUUAAGUUUCAAUUUAGAUUUUCUUAAUUAAAAACUUAUAAGACCCAAUGCAUGCCACUGCUUCAAAGGCUAACUACUAGCUAACAACUAAUCAGAAAAAAAAAAAAAAAAAAAAACUAACUAUCAUCAAUUCACCAUAAAAAAAUUUACUACUUAAUCUCUCACUAUAUAUACGUACCUCUUAACCAUUUCUAAACUCGAGCCUUUAACCUUAUUGAAAUUCGUAAGUUCAUGUUUUACUAAACUUUUUUUUUCUUUUAGGAUUAAGGUCACUUUUAUUGGUGUUUUUAAAUUAAAUGGCCUUUCAGUAUACUUUUCAGUGCCAUUUCUAUGCACCAAAAAUUACAGAUUCUCCCUUAAAUAUAGGUAAAAAUAUAUACUUACAACCAAAUUUUGUGGAUUAUGACACUCGUACCCCUCAAAUUUCAGAUUUCCUGUGGUGUUGAUGGUGCAGCGUUCUUUGUUGCUGGCUAUGGCUCCGGUGAUGACUACUUCUGGUCGUUGAAAAUUUGUAAUGCAGCGACAGCUCGUGUUUUUGUGGUGAUGCCAUUGCCGUCUGCUACUGUCUCCUCGUGUAAUUGUAGGAAGAAUGGUGCUCGAGGAGAUGCUGCUAAUGAUGCCGCCAAAAAUUAAUAUUUUAUCAUCAGUAGUAGUUAAUCAUUUGUAACCAUCCAAAUCCAAUUCUAUAAUUGCAAUCCAUGGAGUUGGAGUUGCUCCAGAUCUGCACAAAUUAGGGGCAAGUAAUCAAUUCAAUUGGCUAGGAUAAUAUGUACUUUUAAAUUAUAAUUUAACAGAAUUUAUUAAUUUCGGUUAGUGUGAGGAGAUUAAGUGUGAUGUUCCUAAAUUUAAAAGAGAUAAAUAUCACAACCCAUUUGAGUAUGGAUAUAUAUAAAUAAUUUGUAUAAUAUAUGGAUACAAAUUACUUCAAAAGACUUUAGUAGUAAAAUCUUGAAUUAUAGACUAGACCAACACUAAUAUAAUAUAUGCAUCAAAUGUCGCUUGUAUGAAUUGUUGAAGACCGGAGGAAGUAGAAGGAUGAAUGAGAGCCUCCGGUGUCUUAUUACUAUUAUGGAGUUCGGUGGUGAAUAGUAGAGAUAGUGAUAAGACAGAAGGAUAUGAAUAAAAAGAUAAUAAUGUUUUCGGUUUUAACAGGGAUUUAUGAGGCCAUUGUUAUUGAUCAUAGCCUUUAAGAUUGAAUUAGACAACUAUGUUAAAAUAGCAGCUGAAAGUCAGUGGAGUUUUGAGUUUUUGGAUGGGUUUUUAAAUAUGAUGCGACAAUAAUUACUUUUGAUAAAAAAAAUUAAAAAAAAAAGAGAGAGGGUGGUUUCCUUAAUUUUUUUUUUUUUUUUCUAAUUUCAUGAGUAAUGUUUUGGUAUGUCUAGUUAGUAAAUCCUAGAACUAGAAGAAAUUGGACAUGGUGGUUGGUAUUUCGUACCUUUCUAAAAAAGCAGAGAUAAUCUCCUAGCAGUCAGGAUGAAAACGAACUCUUUGGCUUGUUCUACUUUAAUAGAAAUUAAAAUUUUAAUGUUUAUACAAGGAAAACAAUGAUUCUUCGGAAACAGAAGUUACUUGAAUUCACAAAUCAGGCUCCCCGAAAUCGAAUUAUGUGUAAGUAUGAAGAGUCAAAGAAAAUAAAAUCGAAUUACAAUUUUUUAAAUUAAACUUAUUUAAGUAGAACUUUUAUUAGUAAAGUUUUUAUUAAAAAAAAUUGUAGUUUUUUUAUUGUUAAUAAAAAAAUUUAUUAAAAAUUAUAAAAUUAUUUUAAUAGAUAAGUUUUUUAAAAUGAAGUUAUAAAAUGCUUAAAGACUCUACUAAAAAAAAUAAUGUUUCAAAAUAAAUUUUUAAAGGAGUUAAAUAAGAUUAAAAAUUAAGUAUUUAAAUAUUUAAUAUUUAAAAGAAUUUCAACCUCUAAUCCCAAUUCCAAAAAAUUUAAAAUGUAAGCUCUUAUUGACAAAGACAAAAUAACUUAUUUAACCUUAAAAAAUUUUACUGAAAAAACAUUUGAACAACAAUAAAAAAAAAAAAAAACUUAUAUGAUUAAAUAGAUAUUUAUAGUCAUUAAAUAAAUCAUUAAUCAUACCAAUGCGGCAUAAACACUGACGAUAUUUCAACUCAAUACUGAUACCAACCUGACAGAAACGGCAACUUACGAGUGCCGUUUGACUUGUUCUUUUUUUUGUUUUAAGAAAAAUAAAAAAAAAAUAAAUUGGAAGUUUGAAACAAAAUUAAAAACAAAAAAAAAAAUUCCAAAUUGCAAAAUCCUCGGCAGAACCCAACUUCUAUCUACGUGGGCCAUCGACUUGGAGCUUAGAGUCAGACUGGACGUAAUAAAACGUUCUCAAACAACAAACUUAAUUCGAAAAUUUAUGAUAUGUUUUGAAUGAAAUUUUAUUUUAUUUCGUAUCUUAAAAUUUGUUUGGGAUUGAUAUUUGGUAAUUAUAGUUUAAAAAAUACAGUAUUAAAGUAUUUAAAUUAGUUAUUGUAACUUAAAAAUUAUAUUGAUAUAAUUUUUCACUUGUAUAAUAAUAAAAUUAUUAUAUCUUUAAUAAUUUUAUCAAAAUUAUAUUUACUAUAUAUUAUUAAUUUUUAUUUUAUAAUUAUAAUUUUUUUUCCUCACAACAGCCGUCUCUUAAAGAUACAACACAUUAAUUCCAAACAUAACCUUACUCUUACGGAUCCUCAAAGUUUUAACAUCAUUUAUAAAAGAUGAAAAAAUCUUUCAUUUUUUGUUACCCUACUAACAGAUUCGUCUGGUGACCCAUUAAUUAGAGCUUUUUUUUUUAAUAAAAAAAUUUGAAUUAUCGGUCAUUGGAUCUUUUUGCUCGCAAUCUAACGGCUGAUCCGCUACAAGACAAACAGAGGGGUAACUUUACCACCUAGGCAAAGUAGCUGGACCCAUUUCUAAGACGAUGGUGGAUGACACCUGUCAAUUGGACAUUACCCAGCGUGAUUGGAGCUUACGACCCGAUGAAACUUAUAAAUAAUUAAAUUUUAACUACACAAAUGUUAUUUUGACCCAAAAAAAAAAUUGUAUUACAAAAUUUUGACUAAAAAAAAAAAAAGAAAGAUUAAAAUGUCUUGAUAAAAAAAUAAAUUGAUUAAUGACUACCUGAUAUUUUAGCCUCUUUAUGUUUUUUUGUCAAAAUUUUAUAACUAAACUUCUGACUAAAGAGUCAAUAUUGAUAAAAAUAUAGAAUUAAGUCAUGAGUUCACACACACACACACUCACACACACAAAAUUAUAAGACGCCGAAGAAGAUACACGUAUAAAUAAUUGAAGGUCUGACGUUACAUCCAUGGAAAUCAAUUGGGCGCUUCAUUCUCUCCAACCUGAACCUUCACCCAUGCAUGUAGUUAGCCACGCCCACGUAGCACGUGGAUGUGGUUCUUGUUUGAUCACACAUUUAAACAAACCCCAUUCACUAAUAAACAAGUAGAAUUUUUUUUCUUUUUUUUCCAAAAAAAAAGUUAUAUAGAAUAAGUAAAUUUGGACCUUUCAAUUCGUAAAGAAUAACGGAUGGAGGCUCAAGGAUCAGCAGCCAACUCAGCGAGGUAACAUAGAAAAUGCAAUAAUUGUAGGGUCUCGUAUCUAUUAAUUCGAUAUGAUUUUAUGCUUCGACUUGUCUUUAUUUUACUGAAUCUGCCCUUUAUAUAUAUAAAAAAAUAACAAUAAUAAAGAAAAGAAAUUUAAUUUAGGGCUUAUUGCAGCGAGUUGUUAAUUUUAAUUAAUUGCUGACCUACCUACGUGUCAAACGGUUUAUCGAUGGCGGCUUCUGUUGACUUUUUCACGAGUUCUGGUGUGCGUGGCAGAAUUUUAUAAUUAAGAAUCUCUAAUAAAUUGAGUGUCAGAUCUGUAAUAAUUUUUAAAACAUCCGGUUACGUUUGAAAUUAUUUUAAAAUAAAAUACGUCUUUGUAAUUAUAUAAUUAAAAUUAUAACAUAUUUUUUUAUUAAUUAUCAUUUUAUUUGUGUGGUUGUAAUUUAUCCUCCACCUCAUAAGUUGGUAAUUGGUUUUGCUCACGAAUUUCUUUGUUUGCGGUUUCAAUGGCAAACGUUAUUCCAAUCUUUUCACUCUUCUAGCAUUAAUUUGCUGCUCCAUAAUGAUCCACUAAUAAUAAUGCUAUGUGGAAUUUAAUAUGAUGGUGGGAUCAAUCUUUGUUUGGUGCUUUUAUAUCUUUUAGAAACACGAUAUGGUCAUAUGAUUAUAUUGCGAUAAAAUUAAUUAGUUACUAUAGCAUGAUCAGAAGCAUUCAUCUAAUUGUAUCUUGUCAUACAUACGAGAUUCAAAGUUAUAAACUAAAAACAAAAUUCUAGUGAUUAUAUUUACUUAUACUAAUUAGCAUCGACUAAAGAAACCUAUUAAUCUUCCAUAAAAGAUUUAUAAAACCAAACAACUCCUCAUCCUCAAUUCCCAAAACGGUAGACAUAUUGAAUGAUGGUAAACUUAACCCGUCCCGGCCUUCCCCCCCACCACCCAAAAAAAAAAAAAAAAGGGCAUGAGUCAUCUACAUCCUUCUUUCUCUACAUAUAUUGAUUUGUUGAGACAACAAGCUAAGAAAUGAAAAUUCCUCAAUUCGUAUUGUUAAUUGAAUAUUAAAUCCUAUUAAACUAGUUCAAUUGAUAAAAUCUAUCAUAUAGAAUCGAGAGAUGUAGACUCUAGCGUUCCAAUUCAAUUUAUGUAGCUGAAGGGAGUAUUAAGAUACCAUUAGUCCAUAACUUCGGGAAAAAAAUAAAAAUUAUUAAACCCUAUUCUUAUCAUAUUUGUGAUAAACAACGAAACCCUAGCCAUAGCUAGGAACUUGUGGUCCUUCGGUUGAAGAAAGAAACAAUAA
This 57568-nucleotide long non-coding RNA is filed under the name Citrus sinensis (sweet orange). Its description in RNAcentral is "long non-coding RNA (CSIN_LNC001876)". The record is from RNAcentral. Lineage: Eukaryota; Viridiplantae; Streptophyta; Magnoliopsida; Sapindales; Rutaceae.